RNAcentral lists this long non-coding RNA (54151 nucleotides) under Linum usitatissimum (flax). RNAcentral's name for it is "long non-coding RNA (LUSI_LNC004765)". Lineage: Eukaryota; Viridiplantae; Streptophyta; Magnoliopsida; Malpighiales; Linaceae. The record is from RNAcentral.
AAAAUUAUUUUUCUUCCCUUUCCUCUCAUUUGUACAUUCCCGAUUGUGCUGCUCCCAUGCGCUACUUGUACACUUCUCAUACCCGCCAUGCAACCUCAUCAUUAUUCUACAUUUGCUCUUCUCUGCUCUGCUCAUAAUUCUAUCUUUCCAAUCGAAUAGGUAAGAUAUCCAACUCAGCAAGUUUCUGGGUUUUUCCUGUUGCAGUCCAAAGUAAUGAACUUUAAUCUGAAUCUAGCCAUAUGACUGCCUAACCGUCUCUUUUCUGGAUGUUAGUUUCCAAUUAUGUAUGUAGGACACUUGCCAAUUUCAGUUGUGCUGGGAGUUGUGUUUAUUCAAAGUGUCACACUUGUUUAAAUUGUUGCUAAUUUGAUUUGGGUUUUUGUUGGUUAAUCUUUUGAACUAUUCUCUUUGGCUAUUGAAUUGUCGUUAAGACGCCUAAUCCUUUCACCAAGACUUGGAUGUUUAUGGACUCCAGGUGAAAUGCCCAUAAAAGCUUUGCAUAUCGAUUUGCUUCUUUACGUGGCUGAACUAUUUUUUUGAAUCCUUGACAAAAAUUUCAAGUAGCUUGUUGUGUCGUGUGUGUGUGUGGAGCUUGGUAGUAUAUGAAGUUUUUCGUCUUUGAAGUUUUAAAUUAGAGAUUUUUAAGAGUUACUGAUUUCGUGAAGAGUGUCUUUAGGUGUCUUCUUAUCAAUGACAUAUAAUUACAUUGAAUUUCUAGUGUGAUAGCUUGAAGUGGAAUCCAAAUACCGGAAGAAGAUUGAUUGGUUCAAGUAGAGAGAUUUUCCAGUGUUCUGUACAGAGAAGGUCAAUAACAUUGUCAUGGGUACAUGCCAAGAAGGAACAAUCUCAAACAGCCAAUUGGUUGAAGCAUCUGCUGUUAUGGUAAUAAUACAUUCUUUUUUGUUUUCUUUCUUGAGCGAAAUCAAUUCGAAUUAGGAUUCAUUACUUGGGGCUUCACCAUUCAGGGACCAAUUUGGGCCAAUCUCCUCAAGGUCUUUGGAUUCAAAGGCUCAAUCUUGCUGCACUCCAUGUGCUACUAACGAUAGUUGCCAGAUUGUUAAAUCAAGAACGAAACUUAUGAACAUCUUGAUUCAAAGACGGAAGCCUAGAGAAGCAGAAUCCAUUUUCGACGGCCUAAUGGAAGAAGGCCAUAAGCCUACUCUUCUAACCUACACAACACUGGUUGCUGCCUUAACUCGGCAGAGACGUUUCAAGUCCAUCCUCUCACUCAUAUCUAAAGUGGAAGAGAAUGGGAUGAAACCUGACUCUAUACUGUUCAAUUCGAUCAUCAAUGCCUUUUCCGAAUCAGGAAAUGUAAAAGAUGCUAUGAAAAUCUUCCAGAAGAUGAAGAGUAAUGGAUGUAAGCCCAACACGAGCACCAUCAACACUCUGAUCAAAACAUACGGAAAUGCUGGGAAGCCAGAAGAAGCUUCGAAAUUGUUGGAGUCGAUGUUACAGGAUGAAAAUGUGAAGCCAAACCAGAGGACAUACAAUAUCCUAGUUAGAGCUUGGUGUAACAAGAGAAACAUCGACGAGGCCUGGAAUGUGGUGCACAAGAUGGUUGCAGCUGGUUUGAAGCCGGAUGUAGUCUCAUAUAACAUACUAGCAAAGGCUUAUGUUCAAAUAGGCAUGACAGACAAAGCUGAGGAUUUGUUGUUUGAGAUUCGGAGAAGUGGAUUGGCGCCAAACGAGCGUACCUGUGGUAUCAUUGUGAACGGCUAUUGCAAUGAAGGUAAUAUGGCGGAAGCCUCGAGGUUUGUAUACAGGAUGGAGAAGCUUGGCGUGCAUCCCAAUUUGGUCAUCUUCAACUCUCUUAUCAAAGGUUUUGCAAGUAUCAUGGACAAGGAUGGAGUGGAGGAGGUCAGUUUCGGAACCAUUGAAGACACUAUUUCUUAGUUCUAACUUCUAUGCUGUUGUAUUUUGUUGAGUCUUCUGAAUUUAUGACCAUGUCGUCAUGAACCGUUGCAUCUCAAUAACUCGAGUUGUUAGGAGAAGGUUAACUAUGGAUCUUAUACCAUUCUCUUACACAUGUUACAGGCGCUUGAUGCCAUGGAGGACUAUGGAAUCAAGCCGGAUGUGGUAACAUUCAGCACAGUAAUGGAUGCAUGGGGUUCUGCAGGACUCAUGGACAAAUGCCAGGAAAUCUUCAAUGACAUGUUGAAAGCAGGCAUAGAACCUGAUAUCCAUGCAUUCAGCAUUCUCGCUAAGGGUUAUGUUCGAGCUGGAGAACCAGAGAAGGCUCUGUCAGUACUGGCUUCCAUGGAACAUUACCGAGUGCGUCCAAAUGUUGUGAUCUGUACAACCAUCAUCAGUGGCUGGUGCAGCGCGGGGAAAAUGGAUACCGCAAUGGAGGCCUACGAGAGGAUGUGUAAGAUCGGUGUUUCGCCAAAUUUACGAACUUUUGAAACUCUGAUAUGGGGAUAUGGGGAAGCCAGGCAACCGUGGAAAGCACAGGCGUUGCUGCAAGUUAUGGAAGCGAAGGGCGUAUCGCCUGACGAUAACACAAUGCAGCUUAUCUCAGAUGCUUGGUUCGCUGUUGGUUUAACAAGUGAUGGCAAGAGAAUCGUGGAUGUUGAGCAAUCAGAUUCUGAGGUUGAUGCAGAUGGUACUAAGGAUAACGAGUUACCAGGACAGAUGUUGGAGUUGUACAAAGACCCUGAUCUCUCAGCUUCAUAUUCAGAAGUCUUGGAAGUACCUGGAGACGUAGCGAACGGUCAGAAUGAAGCAUCGCCUGUUAAGAUAAGAAGCCAAAUGAUCCUCAGAGCUCCUAGGUCUUCGUCCAAGGCUCCGUUUUUGGGUCCUAGAUAUACGUUCUUUCUUCGUGGCUCUAGAUUCGGAAGGCAGCCACUAGUUAUUUGCAGCAAGCAGCAACACUGUUUCUCCGGCAUUUGUGGGAAGUUCAUGAGAUCCUACAGCAUCUUCUGAGUUGUCAAUGGAUCCAGGUUGUAGAUAUCACGAACAACGAUGAGAUGUUAUUUGUCUGAAUGUGAUCCCUGAAGUUGUAGAUACCUUUGUUGUUGUAUUGAACCACAAAUCCUCGUUAGUUCGUUUGGUCAUUGACUACAGAAUUUUAUACGUAGCAAUGUAUUUCCCACGUUUUGUACUGCUCUAUGGCAGAAAGAAGCUGCAUCAAUUUUCAGAAAUGCAGGAGGUACAAGACCAUGCUUUGAAACUUGGUUCGAUAUUAAAUGAGCCAAACUUGAGCUAACCAUUGCUCAGCUCAACAGGUUUGCGAGUUGACUCUGGCCAUAACUCAUUGAACUAGGCUUGUGAGUCAACUCAUUUAUAACUCGUGGCUAGGUUCGAUAUAGAUAGCUAGUGAGCCAGUUGUCUAAGUAUUUGAUUAGUUUCUUACGAGCCUAUGACUAUGAGCUCUAUGGUUUAGCUCGGAAGCUCGCUUGAUUUUUAUCUUUUGACGAGCUCGCUUAUGUAACCUUUUCCUUCUUUAACCCAUCGAGACUUAAUCACAAAUUGAACUCGAUCGUAAUGUUUAUCGAGUCAAGCUCAUUAUGAUUAUUGAGAUCGUUCGUUAAGGUGAUUUACAGCCAAAAACAUUAGUCAUAGAUUGUUUAAUCAAGUAGCCUGAACUUGAAUCAAACUCGUGCCCACCAACAAAUAAACAAGAUAAGCCCUGACUGGCAAAAAUUCAGCUUUCCUCGUCAACAACCUUAACUAUUUCAUUAGUAUUUGUGCUGACUGUGAUUAUUUGAGUAAGCUUUCAUUGUGAACCAUCAAUAGACGGAAAAAUAGGAUUGAGUUGGAUAGAAAACUAAUUUGUUGGUAAGUCAAAACAUUUGUUACUCAAGUGGUACUUCUCCAACAACCAAGGCCUUCAGUGUUAAAUUGAUAAACGUUGGUGACUAACCAUGCUAAUUACCCAUCAACUCCCAAACCCUCGUCUCCGGAGCUCCGAACCUAAUCCGUUCAGUUUUCAACACCAGCGGAGCUCAGAGCUCCUCCCAAUUUUUGGUCAAGUUCAAUAAUUAAUCAUGAUAUCUCCGUCACAGAUUCCAAAUUUUCAGUCCACUUCCCUCUUCUCUAAACCCUGUCUAAUCCCCCAUUCCCAAUCCUUUCCUCGCUUCUCGAUCCCGCACUCGACGCCCACACACAUCAAGUUUUCCAUUAAAAAUCGCAGCCUACGUCAGAAAAAGUCAACGGUGGUGGUGGCUGGAGCUAGUAACAGCGACGAAGGAGGUGGGGGUGGGGACGAUGGAGGCGACGGCGAGCUGGAGAAAAGGAGCGGAGUUUUGCCGGAGUGGUUGAACUUCUCUCUAGACGAUGCCAAGACUGUUGUCGCAGCUUUGGCGAUUUCGCUUGCUUUCAGGAACUUCAUUGCUGAGCCGAGAUACAUUCCUUCUCUGUCCAUGUAUCCGACUUUCGAUGUCGGCGAUAGACUUGUAGCCGAGAAGGUGCGUUUUAUGAAAAUUCCUUGCUUCUGAGUUUUGCAAUGUUCAUUGGAAGUGUAGUGGAGUCUAUGAUGAACUUGAUUGAAAUUUUUGCCCUAUCAUGUCCCAAAAUGAUUCUUCCAGUCCAUGAAAUCUGUAUUAUGUUGCUGCAAAUGUUCUGUUUGGCUAUCAAUGUUCAUUAGGAAGUGUAGUCUCAUUCAAUGAGCCAACACGAACUGCAUUCUCUUGUUCUAACUUGUGAUCAAUAUGUUGCAGAAACCUACCUCCUUAUCGUUGCAGGCUAACGAGCUUAAUUUCCACCAUAGUAAUGAUUGAACACUAGUUUCCUGCAUGAAUUCUGUUUACAUACGGACACCUCAAAUGAAAGCUUAGCUAGCUACCGAUUGACUUAAGUGGAUCCUUUUAGUUUCUAUGGAAAUGUUGAUCAGGUCUUGAUAUCUCAAUGAUUGUGUUCAAAACAUAUAAGAUUAUAUUCACAUUGUGAACAAAACGAUUGAUAUGCAAAAAUUUCAGGUCACGUACUACUUCAGAGAGCCUUGUACAAAUGAUAUAGUGAUAUUUAAGAGUCCUCCAGUCCUGCAGAAAGCUGGAUACACCGAUGACGAUGUUUUCAUCAAACGGAUCGUUGCCAACGAAGGUGAUACUGUCGAGGUCAGAUUCGUAAACAAAUGAAGCUCUUUACCUCGUUUACAUAUCAUUGGUUACCAUCUGAUAUUUGUCUUAUUAUUGGAUUGCAGGUCCGCAAUGGGAAGCUUGUAGUAAAUGGAGUCGAGAGAGAUGAAAAGUUCAUCAAUGAAAAGCCAUCUUAUAACAUGAAACCUACUGUAAGCAUUUUAAAAUUCAAUUCUUUCUUUUCUGAUUUCGCACCUCUUAUUGAAAUCUCUGUUUAGUUGAAUUCAUCAUACAAUCUAUCCCCCAUAUUCAUUCUGCCUGUGUAAUCCUUACUGCAGAAGGUACCAGAGGACUAUGUAUUUGUCAUGGGGGACAACCGGAAUAACAGCUACGAUUCACAUGUUUGGUAAAAUGUCUCUCCAAGUUAAUUAACUUAUCCACCAAGACUGUUGCUUUCACUUUACUGAAUGCUCAGAAAUUGUCCUUCCUUCAGGGGUCCUCUACCAAGGAAGAACAUAAUCGGAAGAUCAGUGGUCCGGUAUUGGCCUCCUUACCGGAUCGGCGGCACAAUAUCUGAGACCAACUGCACCGUUGAUAAACUGGAGAGCACUGAAGCCCCUGCGCUCAAGUCCAACUGAUGGCCGCAUACCAUUUCUUCAGCAUCCUUUGGGGUUCCUUCUCAUGUAGUUUAUUUUUUGUAGAGUCACUCCACCAUUGUUACAGCUAACGUCGCAAAACUUUUAGGUGUUUGUUUUUAUUGGGAUGUAUAUCAUAAUCUCAUAUGAGUUUGUAUGUACAAGAACGCUUUUUAAGGGGAAUGGGUUUGGUUAUUCUUGAAUCAAACACAAGAGCACAAGAGAUCCGCUGAGUAUGCCAUGACUUGACCAAUUUCCCAAUAACGUAGCCUUUGGAUCUCACUUGGAACACCAAUGUCACUGGAAUCCGAACUUCCUCACCGGCCGAUCUUGUUAAGCUCGCCCCUGCACCGUAAAGUGGGACUUUCAUCCCAUUGACGUUAACCGAGACUGCUCGGUGGCUCUUCCUCGGUUGGUAAUAGGACCUCAGCUGCACCGAAACAACAACAACAACUGUAAAUUGAUGAAAAUCAAACACACAGUAGCAGUAAGCAAAUGUAAACAUAGUGAGUGUUUUUUUUAUGUUUACCUGGCCAGAAGCGACGAUGAGCUCAGAGAACAUAAGAUGAAUAGGAGUAGAGGUGAUCCUGAUUCCGAAGAAAGAAGCUGGGUUGUAUACCUUGAUCCCCACGGAACAGUUUGUGGUGAGCAUCUUUGUGGGAACUCCAGUCAAGUCUGAUCCUUGUCCGAAGUAGAAGUUGUGAACUGUCAAGCUCUGCAUUACCCAAAAAGAAAAUCACCAACCAGGUGGUUGGAUCAACAUUCAGUUGUGGUUAAUGGUUAAAAUCAAUUAAUCAAACGAUUUUGACCCGUUAAUUGGUUAGCUUAGAAUAAUUUAGUAGGUUAAGUGGUAAAGAUUUGAGAUUUUUUAAUUGAACAAAUUUUAACCGAUUUUUUUCAUAUUUAUAUAUAUUUUAAUUGAAACUGACAUAACCGUCCUAGUUUGGUUAGUAAUUGGCGGUUAAUUAACCCAUCAUCACCAUAUUGCUUGGUGAAUCGUGCUCAAUAGGAUGUAAAGUGCACACAACCUUUUUCACUUUUCGAUAUGAGAUAACGCAACGACCUCUACUUCACAAAUUGGUAGGCAAUAGUCAUCAUACACGUUUACUAACUUUGACCGGAUCGCCAUCAGCCACUCAAUAGGACAAUACCCAUUUAUUGAUUUUGACCGGAUCUUAUAAGGUAUUUUCAACCUAUGCUUAACCUAAUUUUUUAUACAAUCUUAAUUGACCAAUAGAAUAUGAUCAACCAUUAACCAGCCUGGCCGAAUUGGCUAUGGGGUAAACCAUUCUCGAAAAACCAACAAUUCAUUUCAUUUUACCUUGACGAGGAUGUGGGGCCGGAAAGGACGGCUAGCACCCCAGAUGACGAAACAGAAAGCAGUGAAAACGGCGGCGAAACCCAUCACGACCAGCAAAGCCCGACACUUGGCGGGGUCGACAGCGGCAGCGACAAAAUCGGCUUCCUCGAGGAUGACGUGGCAGUGUCCUGAACCUCCGGCGGAGCGUUUGGGGGGUAAAAGUUUUUUAUUACGUCCGGAGGAGGAGGAGGAGGCUGCAGAGGAAGCGAGGGCGUAGGUGCCGGAGACGCGGCUGGAGGCGCGUGAGUAGUAAUUGGGAUGGGAAGGGGAAUCGAUGGGGGUUGUGUUGGGGAGAGAAGAAGAGGAGACGGCGGAUUUGUCGCCGUCGUCAUGGGAGUCACGGGAGGGGCUCUGGACGAAGUAGAUCACUGGGCGCUUUGGAGAGCGAGGGGAGGAAGGUGCCAGGCUUGUCAGGUCCGACUCCGACGAUUUGGCGUUGUACAUUGUUGUGUUUAACUCUACUGUGUUGUGUUGUGUUGUGUUUGGGUUUAAAGAGAAGACAGGUUUUGUUUUGUUUUGUUGUUUGGUUUUGUAAGUUGUGAAACGGAAUUGGUCGGAGUGAUGAGUGGAGAUAAAUGUGACGAAAGAAACGGACAGUAGAGACACUUGGCCAUCAAAUUCUGUAUAUAGAAGAAUAUCAGCAUCCAUUUUUGGUCUGAAAAACAUUCAUUCAUACAAUACAAAUACUAGCUAGCUGUCAUCCGGUAUUCUGGUAUACAUUCUUUGAUCUUUGGUUUCGACACUGCAAUCAAUGAAUAAAUUAAUUGGUUAUAUAUUUGUUUUAACUUAAUCUAAUUUUUAAUAACUCGGUUUCGUUUCAUCGUCUCUUAUUCGUACAAUCCACAGUAAUUAAUUCUCCCAGCCCCUAGAUUUAUUUAUUGAUAUCAAUUAAUUUUUCACGAUAUCAAACACUAGUUACUCUGUUUCGAUAUUGAAGGAUUACUUGGUAUGGGUGGUAUUGAAAUACAUCAACAUCACUCAGAUAAUUUGAUAUUUUUAAAUUUCAAUAGCUAUUGUAUCUUCACCACCUGUUGAUGGAUUAGGCAAGCAACAGGCAGAGAAAGUUCUAUUUUGUAGCACUUGGAACAAAACAAUCAGACUAUGAUUAAAAAACGAUUAAGGUAAUAGGCGGCUAUUGUUUUGCUUCGUGUGUGGUUUCUUAAAUAAAAUAAAGACCAUCAAAAACUUUAGGACCGAUAUAAAAAUCUCUUCACUAUAAAAAUUUUUAAAAAACAUAAUAACUCCAGACACUGCUAAACGGAAUACACACUUUAGUUCAACAACUUAUCCACAUCAAUUUUCUUAUUGAUCCUUGCUCUAAUACUGUCACCGAUUUUGCUUAUCAUUUCUUCAACUAAAGUGUUGUUUUUCCCAAACACUUUCAUACACUUUUUCCUUCCAGAUAAAACUCUAUGUCAAACACUUCGUUUUGUGGUACUUUGACUUCUCCUUCCAUAAACAAGAGGCCCUAUAUUUCUAUCCCAUUCAUCACAACUUGCAAGCUCGGGCAAUAAAACAAUUAUAAUCUUCUUAUAAUAGUUGCAUUUAAAAAAUAAGUGUUCUCUUAUAUCAAUCCCAUCACUACGUUAUCAUCCAAUUCACCAUUUUUUUCUUCACUACAAGCUUAUUGUUUAAAACCAGCCAACAAAUCACACUAGCACUGGAAUUACCCCUAAACACUUUAAUUAUAUGUAUAAACAUUUUUUUUAUAGAAAAGGAAAGACAACCCACUUGGCCUCAACAAGGGAGAUAAGUCGCACAAAACGAUAAGUAGUGACAAAGAGAGCAUUCUUUCCAUAGUAGGAUUCGAACUAUUGAUCCUAAAAUCAAAGUUACAAAAUGAUUAACCACAAUUAGAGCUGUUAGCUAAUCAAUCCACUCAUGAGCGGCUCGAUGUUUGGUUCUGAAAAAGUACGAUUGAAAUUCGGCUCGAUCUUAACGAGCUAGCUCACGAGCCGGCUCGAUAAUAAACGAGUUGAGCUCGAACUGACCCUGACUCGGCUUGGUAGGCUUGCCAGCCAGCUCGUCUCGCGAGUUAGCUCGUUUGAGGUUCGAGUACAAGUUCGAUUACCACUCGUUCGUUGGCUCGAGUGAUAGCUCGAUGGACCCUCGUUCUUUGACUCGAUUAGUGUAGCUUGUGAAUUGGUUUUGUACAUUUUAAUGGUUCGAAUGUUCUUUUUUCUAAUUUAAAAACAAGGAUAUGAUGAUGAAUGAUGUUAUUCUAACGAUUAAUUAUUUAUUUAGACUAUACGAGUCGUAUCAUUUUAGAAUCUUGUUAUUUUUUAUAAAUUUAUCCGAGUUAUGUUCGAAAUUUAAUUUGAACUAUUAAAAAUUGCAAACGAGCGACAUCGAGCUUGUUAAGGCCUCUAAACGAGUUGAGCCGAACCGAGCCGAACUCGAACUCAUAAUUAUUUUUUCGAACCGAGCGCAAAUUGCUAUUUUGAACGAACGAUCUAAACUUAAACUUGAUAAAUUUUUGGCUCGAUUCAAUUCGUGAACGGCUCUAACACAAUACCACACCGAGGGGGUGACCAUAUAGGCUCAUCUAAGCGAUAUUAUUACUCAUUCAAUGGGCCGUCUAGUGUUUUUCCCUGCAUAAAAUUUCUUCAUAUCCCCUCCCAACAUAACCUCAUCAAAUAUUUUUCACAAUCUUUUAUAAAAAAUAUAUUUCUCACAAUCAAUGACAAUCUAUGCAUUUUUAAUUUCAAAUUCAUUCAUUUCGCGGAAUACACUAAACAAACUUAGUUGACUGAUAAAUGAUAAUUAUAUUGUAGGCUUUCUUUGAAUGUCAAAAAGUAUUUUAUUAGUAAAUUGUUACAAAUUGAUUUAACGUAUCAGUUAGGUUUAAAUUGGGUUGAUUUAGUUUGCAGCUGGAAGCUCAGGGAGAUCUCAUUGUUGGCAUGCAGUUCUCCAAUAUGGAUUGACAAGGGAGUUCGGUUCGUUUAUUUCAUGGGUCAAUGUCGAGUCUAAGUAUUAGGAAACCUUGCAUAUUGUUCCAAAACUUUGGUAGGUUAUUGCACGGAAAUAUUAAGAAACCUUGAUUUCACCCUAACCUCUCCCAAGUCCAUCGCGGUAAAUUGGAUAGCAUGCACUUUAGUGCAGCCGUGGGUCAACCUGAGCAACUGGUUAGGAUUUUUUUGUUUUCAAAUUAGUAAAAUAAACUUUAAGUAAAAUUUUCAAAAUUGAAAAUUGUCGAAUAUUUCGUCUAGUGUGCUAUUUAAUCUCCCGUAAGUCCAUCACAGUAAAUUGGAUAGCAUGGACUUGAGUGCAGUGGCGAAACCAAUGGUGGGCUAAUCCGAGCAAUUCGCUAGGAUUUUUUGGUUUCAAAUUGAUAACAUUCUAUGUAAAUUGUUAAAAUUGAAAAUUUGUCGAGUAUUUCGCCCAGUGUGCUAUUUAACCUCACGUAAGUCCAUCACAGUAAAUUGGAUAACUUGCACUUGAAUGUAGUAGCGGAAUCAACGGUGGGCCAACCGGAGCAACUGGCUACGGUCAUUUGGUUCCAAAUUAAUAAAAUUUUAUUUCACAUUCAUUUGAAACUCGAAUUGCCCGGAAUUUCUGGCCAUCCUAAUUCCGCUAUUACUUGUACGAUAGACGAUACAUCAGUUAACGAAAGCCAUCUGUUAACAAUUUACAAAUACAACCAUUUGCAAUGCAAAUAACUCCCAUUACAACUAAACCAAGUAACUAUCCACAGAUACAAGACAUUUACCUAGUCUUCUUAUGUUAACUUGGCAGCUUGGUUGUGCUCACUGCGUGGGGCAAACACCAAAACGGGAGUAAAACAGUCAAAUUUUCGACAUCAUGUGCUGAAAAAAUGCAAGCUUUCAAUUGGAAGCACCUUCCUACAUCCUAUUAAACGGUUCAACUUUGGCAAAACAAGUAGACAGAGAUAAAAGGAAAACAAUGGUGAAGGAGUUAUUGCUGCCAUCAGAAGAGACUCAUUUGGGUGGGAUUUCUUUCUCAUUCGUCCCAUGGAAAUGGAACUCAAAGCCCUUGCGGAAAUAUUAUCCCCGGAUCAUUUUAUGGUAUGUGAUAGCACUAGAAUUUGUAGUGUUUAUCUCACCCUAUCCGCAUGUUUUUUAAGUGAAUGUUAGCUCGUUCGUACUUCAUUUUUGUGUGGUUUUGCGUCUUGGCAUUGUAUCGUCUAGACUCGUUCACUUGGACCGUUUUGGUCCAUUUGAUGUGUUUUUUGUAGUAUAUGCCAUUCCCAAGUACUUUGGAGACAUGUGGUCUGGCUACUAGGCUACGGGCACGGAUUAGAGCACGGUUGGAGUUCAAAUGGGACGACGUUGCAAAAGUUGGUGAAGAAAAAGGCACACAUGCCGUGCAUGACCUAAAUUGGAAUUACCUCAUGAUGGAAUUAGGAAUGCACGUCGUGCAUGCCAUAAUCUUGAAUUAGCUCACGACGAGGUUAAGGGUGCACGCCGUGUGCCUACCUGUUUCGAAAGUUUCCAUUUAAAAGGAGCGAUUUAAGGAAAGAGGAAGAGGCUUCUUCUCAACAAUUCCCUGGCAAUUUUCACCCGCUUUCCUCUGCAAAAUACCUCCACCUUUCAUUCAUAGAAGUCCGAUUGAAGAACCGAAGGAGUAGCCAUUAAAGAUCAAAGUUUGGAUUCGAAUUAGAAGACCGAAAGUGAUGAUUGGAUUUGGAGCGACUUUGAUUCAUUAUCUCCUCAACAUGAUGAUGGUUAGAUUUUUCUUGAUUUUCUCUUCUUUUAAUGACAUGAGUAGCUAAUCGCAUUGCGUUUUCUGCUGGGAUGUACGAAUUGAGCCAUGAUACUCUCCCUAAAGAUAUAGGGUCGACGAUUUGUUGGAUAUUCGGUGAUGAAUGAAUGAUUGCUUGAUUAUUGUUCUUUAAACCUAGUUCUUAUCACGACUUGAAUGGGGUCAAAUCUGUGAGCUCAUUUACUUAACCGAACCUUGUAAUUCAUAUGUUAACAAUCUAAAAUAGUAGAAAGUUAUUGAUGGACCAAGCCAUAACUCGAUUCUACCUUUAAUUUGUGUUUCAUUUGGUUUUAAAGGUAUUUAAUUGAGCACUUGGCGGGCGUUCUAAUUUGCAUCUAACUAACCAAAUUAGGCGUAGUUAUUAGUAGUUUAGGUGUUAAUGGACCAAGCUAACACCAUUUUCAACUGCUUGUGAGGUCCUUUAUGUCAAGGGAACACCUUAUCACUUUGUAAACCAUGUUAGUGUUCAUUAGUACUUCGCCUAGUUGGGGGUGAUUCUAACCUUGAUUGGGAAAGCUGGUAGUGGUAAUCCGUGUGCAUAAUCGUGUCGCGGAUUUUACGAGUGAUAAGAGGAAUCUUAAUAUUCAUUACUAGUCCAAAAUUUUUCGAACCGAUUAUUGAUAGAAAGUUGAGUUUGAUCAACAUCCCUUCCAAGAACGUGUUUUCUCUUUCUGUUCAAACCUCUUUCACAAUUUCUCUUAGUUUUCAUUACUGCUGUUAACUGCGGAAGUAGUAUAACUUGAAACCAAACCCAAAUUGCUUAGUCCAGACUGUCUUGAAAAGUUUUGAGUAAAAUAUAACGAGAGGAUCCUUGGACAUAAACGACACCUGCGUCGUUAGUAUAACUUAAACCGUUAUUUCGGCGAUCAAGUUUUUGACACCGUUAUCGGGGAACUCUUUCUUGUUUCUUUGAAAGAAUUUAGGUGGUGCCGCUUUCGACAUUCGACUUCGCUUUAAUUUUACUUUUCCCAUUUUUUCUUUGUUGUUUUGUUUGGGGUCCACUUUGGGUUGUUGCUUGUGGUGUGCAUGAUUUAGGUGUGGUGCAUGAGACGCUCUAGCCGAACUCGUGAACGAUAACUAUGGAAUCAACCACCACCUCGAGUUAUGUUCCCUCCUUUAGUUCCACCCAAAGUUCAACCCAACUUCACCAUUGAGAUAGUCCUAUCUCUACAUUCGCGGCCUCGCUCCCCACUUUCAGUAUCUUCUCCAUCAAGUUCUUCCCUACCCGUUUUUUCUCCUUCAAGCCCUUCAAGUGAAGAAGAACCUCUCGAGGACGUUAGAAUGGGAGACCAACAACCCCGGACACUUGGGGAUUAUGCCUAACCCACCCUCGUUGGCACUGACUCGACAUUACCUCAUUCCCCCCUAUGGUUGACAACCGAAACUUCAAGGUUAUAUUCUCGUACGUCCAGAUGGAACGGCAGAAACCUUACUCUGAACUCGAGCAUGAGUGCCCGAACUGCUAUCUGAGGUAUUUCAGUGAAGUACUGGAGCUUAUGAAAUACAAUGGGGUUCAUGAAGACGUCAUCCCUAUGAAAUUUUUCUCUUUCUCACUCCAAGAGAAAGCAAAAGCUUGGUUGGAUAAUGAGCCCGAAAACUUGUUCCAAACAUGGGACGCUAUGGUUAACACGUUCCUCAAAGAGUUCUUCUCGCCAUACAAAAUAAAUGCAAUUCGGGCUCAAAUUAGCAACUUCAAACAAUGGAAUGAUGAGCUCUUUUAGGAAACAUGGGAUUGCUUCCAAAGCCUUUUGUAUUUGUGCCCCCAUCAUAACAUGGAGGAUUGGACUCUACCUGAUAUCUUCCUGUGGGCUCUCAACUAUGAGAUUUGGAAAUUUUGUGUUCCUUGUCGAUUUUGUGAUAGUUGAUACCAGAGAUAAUGGCAUUUUUUUUAUCUUAGGUAGACCCUUUCUCAACACUUCCAAAGCAAUUAUGGAUGUGUUUGAGGGGAUACUCACCUUACACGUUGGCAAGGAGGAGACUAUCUUUAAGUUAACCCAGAGCUUGAAAUAUUCUGAUGCAUAAGAUGAUAUUGAUUAUAAUGAUGUGAAUGCAAUGGCUUCGACUUUUCAAAUUAAAGAUUUGUUCAAUCUAGAUGCCUUAGAUUUGUCCUAUUCAGAGCAUUACGGGCAUGCAUGAACGAGCUAAGACAAUUGAAUCAGCAAGAAAUCACCAAGGGGUUGCAUGCUGUCAAAAUUGGUGCUAUGCAUAGUCAAACUUGGCAUUAUGGCAUAGCGUCAAAUUAAAUAUGUAUAUAGCUCCAAUAUUGACCAUCCAAUCUGAAAACUCAUGCCAAUUUUGGCGCUAUGAAACGUUUAAUUUGGCGAUGUACCCAUAGCGCCAACUUAAACAUUGCACUAUAGCGCCAAUGUUGACAUUCUGUGAUUAAAAGGAUUUUUCGAAAAUCCUAUUUAAAGCCCAGUUCUCCCUCACUCGAAGACAGAUUUCCCUGGACGAAAUUGAGAGCUUUAUUAAGAGAUUUGAGAGCGACUUAGAGGCAACUUCAAGGAGCUAGGAAUCGGCAAAGUAAUCAAAACAACGAAUCAAGUUAUCGGGAAGAUCGACGAAAUUAGUUUUUUUCAUAAUUCUUUGUGUAAAUCUAGAUUCAAUGUCUUCCUCUUGUGAUUUUGAUUUGUCUCUCGAUUUAUGAGCAGCUAAAAUUCUCGUGCUUAGAUUAGAUGAACCCUAGGUUAAUUCCUAUGAACGAAUGAUUUGAUACGUUUUGAUGAUUUAUUAUUGGCAGAUAAACUUGAAUGGAUCUCUGUUAGAUUUGUCUUAGACUCGUGAGAGUUUGCAUAUCUAGAACGCCGAAAUAAAAUAACUAGAUUAGACGUUAACCCUCAUCCGAGAGCGAAUGAACUAGUCUGUUGUGUGAACAAUUCUAAAUCGGUAAAUCACCUAACGGAUUUUAGAUCUUUGUGUCGAAAUGGCAUCAUUUGAUUAAAGAAGAAUUGCGACGGUAUAAUGCAUCUAUCAUGUUUUGUUUAAAUCGUGCAAUUUGUUUGUCAUUUGUGAACUAGAAUUGUCUAGCGGGAUUGGACAUCUAAGCAGUUUCAUAUCUGUUUGUCUACAACCUUAUAUCGUGCAGUCUUGCAACCCUUUUACUUUAAAGCUAUUUUUAUUUUCACUUCGAUUGAUUGAUUGAUCCUCGUGGCACCGAAAUCACAUUCAUUGAUACCUCGAUUGAUAUUAAUUAUAACUUCGAGUAAGAUACUAAAAGAGACCCUAGGGAUAUUCGACACGGUUAAUUUAUUAAUCGGUUUAUUUUGAGAAUUCCUUAAAAACGUUCAUCAAAUUGGCGCCGUUGUCGGGGACUUCUGUUUAGCAUAUGAAAGUAGUUCCAUUAGCAUUAAUAUUCAUUCCUGCUUUAAUUUUUUUUCAUAGCAAGCAAGUCAUUGCGUAGCAGAUAUCAGACAUCAACGGUAUUAGUCCAAGCUUCUGCACACACAAGAUUCUGAUGGAAGAAAACUUUCACCCGAUUGUUCAACGUCAACGAAGACAAUAUUGCAACUUGCAAAAGGUUGUUCGUAAGGAAGUUGUGAAACUAAUGGACGCCGGAAUCAUCUAUCUCAUUUCAGACAGCGAAUGGGUUAGUCCGAUACCAAUGGUGCCGAAGAAAAGAGGUUUCACUAUGGUCGAGAAUGAGAAGAAGGAGCUCAUCUCCACUCGUACUGUCACAUGGUGGAAAGUUUGCAUAAACUAGAGGAGGCUCAAUGAUGCCACCCGAAAGGAUCAAUACCCGCUCUCGUUCAUGGAUCAAAUGCUCGAGCGCCUUGCCGGUGAUGAGUAAUUUUAUUUUUUGGACGAGAUGUUGGGAUACUUUCAUAUCUCGAUAUGUGCGGAAGACCAAGAGAAAACGACGAUCAUCUUAUCUUUUGACACUUUUGCCUAAAGGAGGAUGUCAUUUGGGUUGUGCAAUGCUCUAGCCACAUUUAAGAUAUGCAUGUUGGCUAUCUUAUGCUAACUUGUUUGAAGAGAUAAUGAAGGUCUACAUGGACGACUUCUCUUUGUAUUGCGACUCAUUUAACCUCUGUUUGAGGAAGCUGGAGAGACUGCUGCAACGAUGCGAGAAGACCAAUUUGGCCUUAAGUUGGGAGAAGUUCAUUAAUGGUCUGUGAGUGGAUUGUGCUUGGCCAUAAAAUUUCUGAUCAAGGGAUCAAAGUGGACAAAGCAAAACUCGAGACGAUAGCUAAUCUUCCUCUUCCUUCAAUCGUCAAGGGUAUUCGAAAAAUUUCUUGGCAAUGCGGGAUUCUACCGGCGGUUUAUGAAGGAUUUUUUCAAGAUUGCUACACCUCUGAACCGCCUCCUUGAGAAGGAUGCUCCAUUCACCUUCACCAUUGAGUGUAAGCAUUCUUGCCCGAUAAUCCUCACCACUCCAGAUUGGAUGCUUCCAUUUGAGCUACUAUGCGAUGCAGUGACUUCACCUUGGGAGCAGUAUUGGGACAAUGGAAGGAGAACAAUUUUUAUCAUAUAUACUAUGUGAGCAAGUCACUCAAUGAUGCCAGAAGAAUUAUACUACCAUAGAGAAGGAGCUGUUGAUAAGUUCAGGUCUUACUUGGUGCUAUGCCACACCAUGAGUUUUACUGACCAUGUAACUAUAAGAUACUUGAUGAGCAAGCCAGAUGUAAAGCUGUGACUUAUACGAUGCAUGCUUUUGUUGCAAGAGUUUGACUUUGAAAUAGAGGACAAGAAGGGUUCUGAAAAUUUGGUUGCAUAUCAUCUCUCCCACUUGAUGGAAGAGGAAAUACAAACCUCGGACGAAAUUCUCAUUGAAGAAUGCUUUCCGGAUGAAAAGCUUUUUAUGGUCAUCACCCAAGAAGUGGAAGGGUCAUGGUUCACGGACAUUGCCAAUCAUCUCACCAGCAUGUCCUACCCAAAGGACAUCUCCCUUCAAGCCAGAAGGAAAAUUCAGGAUGAUAUCUAGCACUACUUCUGGAAUGAUCAGUACGUAUUUCAUGUGGGUGCAAAUAAGGUGAUUCGACGAUGUGUACCCUAUAAUGAGACCCCAACUAUCUUCCAGCACUAUCACGCCAGGCCAACUAAAGGAUAUCACGGUGUAACCGCACCGCCCUAGAAGGUAUUUGAUUUCGGUUUCUUUUGGUUAGUACUUAUAAAGAUAACUUUGAUUUUGUGAAAUCCUAUGACAAAUGCCAAAAGUCAGGCAACAUCUCUCAUCUGAAUGAGAUGUCGCAAAACGAACACCUCGUUUGUGAUAUCUUUGAUGUCAGGGGGCUAGAUUUCAUAGGACCAUUUCCUCUGUCUAAUGGUCUCACAUAUAUUCUCGUGCUAGUGAACUAUGUGUCCAAGUGGGUAAAAGCCGUAGCUCUCCCCACAAAUGAUACUAGAACUGUUGGAAAAUUCCUGGUGAAACUAUUCUCUUGGUUUGGGACACCUUGUGCUAUUAUCAGUGAUAUGACAGAUUCUUACUUAUAGCCCAUGGAUCUCUCCCGUGCUUUAUCGAUGUGAGAUUUUUCUAAGGUGUUACAUUAUACCUCACUUGGACUCAACGUCCUCGUUAAGAUUUGCCCCACCAUCGUUCAAGAGGGGAUGCAGAGAGGCUUUGAUACCACUUGUAACACUCCGACCUUUUCCGACAAGAUAUUGUCUGCUUUGGGCAUAGCUAAUCCCUCAUGGAUUUGUUUCAGAUGCAAAAUAGUGACAUCCUAGGAGGUCAUCCAUUUAUGCACUGCUCCCACCCAAACACGAUUAACUUCAGAGUUCUUAGCAGAACUUCUCCAUCUCACCCUAAAAGCACAUCUUGUCAGUUAGGGAUAGAUUCUUACUUAUAACUCAUGGAUCUCUCUUGUGCUUUGUCGAUGUGAGAUUUGUCUAAGGUAUUACAUACAAAGAGAGGAUGAAGAAGUAUCAUAACUCCCGCUUGCGGUCAGUUAAAGAAUUCAAGGAAGGCGACUUUGUCUGCCUCUUCAACUUACGGCUCAAACUGUUUUCCGGGAAGCUCAUGUCCCGAUGGAGUGGUCCAUUCACCGUCAUCAAGAUUUUCCCUUAUGGGACAAUCGAGGUAAUAUCAUUCCCCUCCUCCGAUCCUUUCAAAGUGAACGGUUUGCGUUUGAAAUUUUACCAAGCUGGUGACAUCAUACGUGUUGGCAACGAGGUUAAUUGUUUUCCACUUUCAAUUGCUCGCGGGAGGGCGUCUAGUUAAAGACGUUGAAAAACGCUCUUCGACGCAACCCGUGCGUAUCCAUUAUUAGAAUAGAAAACAAAAGACCCAAGAUUGUUGAUUUGUGCUUCAUGUAAUUCUAUAACACAUACAUAUUCUUGAUACUUCUGUUGAUUGAAAUCAUGCUCAUCCCUUGAAUUUGUGAUUUCGUCAAAUUCGGUACAAAUUUCAAAAUUUCACCAACUUUGCAAAUCUAAAUCUUUUCCGAAGCCUUCAAUCGAACAGACUAUUAAACAGUUCAACCUUGGCAAAACAAGUAGACAGAGAUAAAAGAAUAAAAAUGGUGAAGGACUUAUUGCUGCCAUCAGAAGAGACAUUUGGGUGGGAUUUCUUUCUCAUUCGUCCCAUUGAAAUGGAACUCAAAGCCCUUGCGCAAAUAUUAUCCCCAGAUCAUCAUAUGGUAUGCAAUCCGAUACAAUUAUUACUUUGCGCAAUUAUUACUUUGAAAAACUGUUACAAUCUGAUUCGUAAGCAAAUAUUAUCCACAACCUAAUAUAACAUGCAUGGCAACAAGUACUACUUAGUAUUAGCUUGCCACUACUAGGCCAACUAGCACUUCUCACGAUUAACUUCUAACCAUCUUGCCGACAUACUUCUUUAACAUAACAUGUAUGGAUGCAAAGAUACCGAGUGAGUAAUUGCCUUAAAACUUCUUCAUCAUCAGAAUCAGUAAAGUAGGUGAGGGUCGAGGGGCAGCACAACCAAGGUAGUACAAUACAUCACCAGCUACUGCACUUGUAAAAAGCACAGCUUCAGUUUACUUCUGAAAAAAGAAAACAGAAGAGAAAAAAUGCAGUGGUUGUUGUUUUGACUAAGGCCUCAUAGGGAAUCCGAUUACGGUUGUCAACAUAAAAGACAUUCAGCCAUAUGCUUGUCAAUACAGAAAUCAUUGGCCAUUCCAUAGCAACUGUAAAUUCAAAUUCACUACAUGGACUUAAGACCUUGGCAUAAAAUGAACAAAGUUUCGAAUGAAGAAAAAGAACAAGUUUUAUAUUGCACUGAUAAAAAAUCAUUGAGGGGUCAUCAGAUAGGAGCGAAAGACUUGCUAUAGAUUUGUAAUCACAGAUUAUCAUCUGAACUAUGCAUUUGAAAAUCAUCACCUGACCCCAUUACCCACAAACAAUUUAUAUCACAGGAAGCAACUUCUGAGGAAACGUUAAAACCCAAGCAAAAGAAGCUGGAAAUCGAGAGGAAUGGCCUCAUAGAGAAGAUUAGAUCUAUCAACAUGCGUAAGUUCAGACAUAUGCUUGUCAAUUUUUAUAGUUAAAUCAUCGGCCAGACACCUCGAAAUCAUAUAACAUAAACCAAAUUGAAAUAAAAGCAAGAAAAGGGAAGACUCAGAAUAUGGGUGGUGAUAUAUCAGGAUGGUCGUCAAGGCCUUUUAAAGCCGUUACGACGAACGAGACCUUUCAUGAUAGUAAUCGUCAUCGUCCAUCCCCACUAAACUCAAAACACAGGCAUUCAAUUGAAGAGUAGAAACAGACAGAUGCUACGGGAAAUUAAGAGCAACACUGCCACGAUUGAAGAUAGGGGGUGGAUCUGGAGAUGCUGUGAAUAUCGAGUGUUUCUGCUACUACUUAUAACAGAGACGAGGGAAGGGGGUUGAUUUCAGGCGGCUAGGGUUUCGAGUUUUGCUGAAGUUGCGGAUCUGUAGUGUUCAUCUUCUUGCGAAUGUGUAGGUUGGGAUGUUACAGGGCGAUAAGGUGCAUAUUCAACGUGGGCUUUUGAGUCUACGGUAGCCACGGCCCAUCAUAAUAUUAGAGGAUCCAUGCAAAGCCUAAGGCCUCGUUUGGAGGUAAAACACGGACUAUAAUCUUACGGUAAAUGUACAAUAUGCUAUUAUGAUUUAAGAUUUUCCCUAUGUUGUCUGUGAGUUAUAUGUUUGUCACAAUAUGUUGCAAUAUUCAUACAAAACCAAUGUGUUAUUUGGGAGUUAUUCCUUUGCUAGGGCAGUUACGAUUAUCUGUGUCAUUCUGAAUUGGUGUGAAUUUGUGCAUCUGGUGUCGUGUUUUUUAAUACCUAUUGUGCAAGUCACUUAAUCGGUCUCGAUGUGUUCUCCAUAGCCACGGACUAGUGUCCAAUCUCUCGUCACGACCUCCAUUUGGAUUUACGGGCUCAAAUCAAACGUUCAUAGGCAACUUCAUCUAUAUCACCCAACACAUAUCUACCUCAUGAUUAAAUCCAAACAUGAUUAUGCGACCCUCUACAUGCAAUUUGUCUUCAUAAGUCGUGUUGUGGAAAACAAGAAUCAAGUGUAGAACUCGAAAUCCUAAUACUAGGAUGACACUCUCAUAUGACGGACAGGUUCUCGAACCGAGAGAAAAAACGUCAUCAGACAGCUACAAAAAUGCUUGAGCAACUCAAAUCUCACGGACUAAUCUACGAACAUAUUAUAACUAAUCCCAGCUAAUAUAUUACAAAGGAACCUUUUCAAAUAGAAACUGAAACUCCAAUUAGUCACCAACAACAGUCCAGAGACUGGAUAAAGGGUACACAAAGUCCACUGAUCACAUGCAGUUCUUCACCGUACAACCAAUGUCUGACUGUAGCCUCCCAUAAACUUUACGUACACUAGGAUGCCAUACUUUGGCAAGUUUCUGCAUCCUCUCAUCGUAAUCUUCCUUGGAAGUAUUCUUGCAAUUGCAUCUAUUAUCAAACCAUGUGGAAGCUUCAAUCAAUGCACUCUCCAACUCCAACUUUGCUUUAUCGCCAAUAGCCCAAUUAUCAACAUCCUCGCCCAUGGCGUUGUUCACAUCAUUUAUGAAUCCCUCAAAGCACCGUCCUGUCUUUUGUGGCCAAUUCAGUUGAAUCUUCUAUCAUUCUCUGUAUCUCCUCCUCGUUCAAGUUUCCUUUGUAGCUGGUGAUGGUUAGAGAUUCUGAAUCUGCAGUUGCGUUGUCUUUGGCCGUUAUACUCAGGAUUCCAUCCACAUUCAUCUCAAAUGUCACUUCCACGUUAGCAACUCCCCCGCAACAAAGGAACCAACCGAUUCGCCCAAUAUGCAUAUCGUAAGAACAACGACCAAUCAUGAAACAUGAAGUCGGUGUGGUGAUCACAUGGGUGAAAAUGAUCGUUAAUGGAGGUUGGAGUCGCCUAAAGACUCACCACAAAACUUUCGGAUAGUCAGAGAUGGUGGUUCGGUUGCCGCAAAAUGAUGGUUCGGUUGCCACGAAAUGAUGGUUUGACAACAAGAGCUGGUUGUGUUGUGUGGUAAGAACAUAAAAAAUAAAAUUAAUUAAAGGCAAAAUGACCAUCUCAACCCAAUUAAUUUAUGACACAUAGAUUGUGUUGGGAACUCACUGAAAAACUUUGUGUUAGUCGGAGAUGGUAGUUUGAUCGUCUCGAGACCAUGGUCCAAUAAACCAAUAAAAAUUAAAAUUUAAACAAUGGAAGGAUCAUCUUACCCCGAUUGAUCUAAACCCACGUAAAAAAAUCAAAAAAUUAUAUUACCACCGAGAAAUAGUCUAAAGGCUUAUAUUAUCCUGUGGAAAAAUCAAAGGCUAAACAUAGACAACAAAUUGAUCGACGGUUAAGUUAAUUAACAAUAAUAAAAAAUACAAACACAAAAAGUUCUUUCUUGUACCUAUUUUCACCUCUUAGCCUCUCAUUUUUCCAACAAAACAACCUUGCCAUAAUUAAAGAAAACUAAAACCAAACAAACGACAGUCUCAUAAACUGUUUUCUGUUAAUUCAUUUAUCAAUUAUAACAUACUUUCUUACUUGUCCAAGUUUGGUUACCAUUCAAUUAGAUUUUUGUUUAGAUUUCUCAAUUAGUUUUUUGUUUUGUUUUGGUUUAAACAUGCACCCUACGUUGUUCAUAUAUACAUACCAGAAAUGAAAGCUCUUGAAGACGGCAAACCAUUCAUUAUGAAAUAGCAAAUACUGUUGUGUUGUGAGAGAGAGAGAGAGUUUUCUCCCUAUCUAUAAACUUUCAAGAACAUAAAAACUCAAAACUUUCUACAUCCCCACAAUCCAUUCUUUCUCAAUUUCGACUCAACCGGUCAUUCGCCGUUGAUCGGUACUCUCUUAUGUUGAUGUUGUUUUGACAGAAAUCAAGAUAGAUCAUAUCAAAUCACUCAAAGCAUACAAGGGUUUAGGCCAUAGGUUUGCAGUCCCUGUGUCUUCCUUUCUGUUUUCUAAAGCAGGGAGGGAAAGGAAAACAAUCAAGGGUAAGGGAGACCGAAAAUUGGCGGAUGACAUGGUUCGAGCAGUUGACAAAGAUGAACAACAACCGGGCGUUACUAGGUCCAAAUCCAAUUCUUUGAGAAAAAUGUUCGAGAUACCUGGGAGACAAAUUCAAAACAUGUUCUUUGUCGACCAUGGUAACAACAGCAGCAACAAUGCCAACGAUAAUGACGGUACUGUUGUUGACCAGGAUAAACCACCGCAACUACCCCCACCACAACUGCAACAUCAACAAUCAUUAAAAGCUAGUACAAGUACUAGUACCCCUCCAAACUUACCGAAAAGCAAUAGCAGUAAUGAAGGAUCAACAGAGCAACUCACUUUUAAUGCAACAACAUCAACAAUAAAUGAGACACCAUCCGUAAUCGAAGGAUCAUCACCUCCUGAGCGCGAAAAACGUGUCGAAUCUGGCCCGCCUCCUAAAACACCGACCCUUAAAGAAAAGGGUCCUUCUGGUAAUAUGGAAUCAAUUUCGCAUGCAUUAUGAACGUUUAUUAGAUAUUCGUUAUUGUAUUAUCAAGUUUUGAUACGUUUUGACAAAAAAUGUCGCGUUAUGAUAAACAUAUAAAGAUUGUUAUCCCAAAACUUCUUCUUGUUAAUGUUUAUACACGUACAGAAAUAUAACUAGUAUUGAUUUUUCUUGGUGUAGAUUUGGAUUUGAUGAAGGAAAAGUUUGGGAAGCUUUUACUAGGGGAAGACAUGUCUGGUGGUGGAAAGGGUGUUUCUUCAGCUUUGGCAUUGUCCAAUGCAAUCACUAACCUUGCAGGUAUAUAUAUUACUCAUUUUCCAUGUAUGAAGCAAAUUAAUAACAAGUUACUAAUAUUUUUGAUUACGGAGCAGCAUCUGUUUUCGGAGAACAAAAAAGGCUGGAGCCAAUGUCUGCAGAUGCAAGGGGAAGGUGGAAGAAAGAAAUUGAUUGGCUUCUAUCUGUAACUGAUCACAUUGUUGAGUUUGUUCCUUCGCAGCAAUCCAAUAAUGGUGUCAAUAUGGAGGUAAUAUAAUAUAUAUAGCUAGGGAUUUUGUAUCUUUUCAUCAAAUUUCAAGACUAUAUGAAUAUGUACCUUAACUUUAGGUUCCUUUUCAUAUAUAGAUCAUGGUGACGAGGCAAAGAAGUGAUCUACUGAUGAACAUCCCAGCUCUGAGGAAACUCGAUACCAUCCUCGUCGUAAGUAUAGUACUAUAAAUACCUCUAUAUACUUCAAAGUUAGCCACACAAGAUCCAAGCAUUUGUUAAGAAGCUUGAUUUUUGACAGGAAUUGUUAGAUCAAUUCGGGAAACAAAACGAAUUCUGGUAUGUGUCGAAAUCUGAUGACGAUUCUGAGAAAGGACAAGGAAGAAAUGAGGAGAAAUGGUGGAUCCCAACAGCAAAAGUACCCAAAAAUGGUUUAUCAGAACCCACAAGAAGAUGGAUGCAAUCCCAGAAAGAUGCAGUUAACCAAGUACUUAAAGCAGCAAUGGCCAUUAACGCUCUAGUCCUCUCAGAAAUGGAUGUUCCUGAAGAAUACAUCGAAUCCCUUCCCAAGGUUGGUUCGAGAUAUUUCAAAUAGCUUUUGAUUUCGUAAAUUUUCUUGUUUGAAUUCACUGUGAGCUUCAUCUGUUCGGUUUUUGUUAGAAUGGAAGAUCAAGCCUUGGAGACUCGAUAUACAAAUCUAUAACAGAUGAACACUUCGAUCCAACUCAGUUCCUCUCUACUAUGGACUUAACAAAUGAGCACAAAGUGCUGGAGCUGAAGAAUAGGAUCGAAGCAUCCAUUGUGAUAUGGAAACGGAAAAUGAUCCAAAAAGAUAAUGGCAAGGCAGCAUGGGGUUCAGCGGUGAGUAUGGAGAAGAGAGAGCUUUUCGAAGACAGAGCAGAGACGAUCCUGCUCAUCCUCAAGCAACAUUUUCCUGGACUCCCGCAAUCUGCACUUGAUAUAAGCAAGAUUUCAAACAACAUGGUACGUUACUAGUUAUAAGUAAAUGCAACCACAUUCCUAUCAGUUUCCAACUAAAUUAUUCACUACUUAUACUCCCACCACAAGUACUCUAACACCUUAGACAAAUCUCACAUGGAUAAAGUCCAUUGAAAUAAAAACUUUGAAGUAAAACAUGCUCAGAGAAGAGCAGCGAGUACAAACUAACAUUUUUGCAUAUAAUUACCUAGGACGUUGGCCAGGCUAUUCUGGAGAGCUACUCGAGGAUCAUAGAGAGCUUGGCAUACACAGUGUUGUCGAGGAUUGAAGACGUCCUGUUUGCUGACAAUGCGGCCCAGAAUCCACCACCGGAUCCGAGCGAGAAACUGCCGGAGGAAGAAACUUCAUCAUCUGCAGAGACACCGUCAUCAAUGACGCUGUCAGACUUCAUGGGAUGGGGUAUGGACAAGGGGGAGAGUGAGCUGAAGAAAUCAGCAUCAUCAGGAAACAUUGAGGACUUGGAAGACAAGGGAAACGUGAAACCAGUAGCCACUCCUAAGAAAUCUUCGUACCUGGAGAGGCUUGAGAAUCUGAGUGGAUUAAGAAGUCCAACAACUCGACAUUAACUUAGAAAUCUUUAGUUGGUGGAGCGGGUCCAAAUCAAUAUUCGUUAUGUGCAAAUAACUGAUGAUUCAAGAAAGAUAUAGUUGUCCUCACAACAACAAGGCAUGCAAUCCCCCCCUCCCACAAACCAUAGUGUACGUACUGGUUCGAAAUUAUGAGACAAGAAUGGAUUGUAGAACAAAAAUGGAUGGAGAAGAAAGAAAAUUAACUAUGUUCUUUAUUGAAUGGUAUUUUCCUUUUUUAUCUUUUUUUAAAAAAUUUAUUUAAUGGGACCUCUGAGUUUCAAUUGUUGUUGAACAAUUCAAAAAAAUUCAAGAAAUUAUUCAUAUAAGUCGAGUUGAGCAAUCUUUGUUCAAGUUAAACUGUCUGUAUGGAUUUUUUUUGGUUUCAUUCCAAAAAGUUUAAACUCAAUUUGUUGUGUUUAUCGCCCUCGUUGAAGCGACAUUUCAUGUAUAUUCAUAUAGUUUGGGUAGAAGUUUAGGGUGUUUUGUGCAUUUCUAACUUCUAUCUCGAUUUAGUGUCUCUGACCCGUUCGUGGCCCAUUUGAUGCUGUUUCGUAGUGUUUUUGAUCGAUUUAAGGCACACAAUGACACCGGGGCACUAUUCAGAACUGUAUUACGUGCAAAGAAGAUCUAAAUGCAUCAAAGAAUGAAUAAAUCACGAAGUUCAGGCGAUAUACAGUGUUCGGGGACAAGCGGGAACUAAGACAGAUGAUUUCAGUUGCUCGAAGCGGAUGGUUGCUGAAAUUCAAAGGGAACACGACGUGUACGCUGAGAUACGACAUGUUCCUAAAGAACACGCCUUUGUCCUUUUCACUGGAAAUUACGGUCGAUAAGUUAAUUUCAUGAAACACGACCGUGUCCCAAGAGAACAUGACGUGUCUUUUUGACACGACGUGCUCCUCAAGUACACGACCCUGUCCUUUUCUCUGGAACUUUCAGACCGGGAAGCGAUUUUUAGAGAACACACCCGUGUCCUUUAGGAACACGACAUGUCCCUAGGAACAUGACGUGUUCCUCCUCGAGACGAGUUUUCUCAGCAAUUUUCCUUCUCCAAUUGGGAAUAGACGAUAUAAAUACCCGGGUUCUCCCUCAUUCGAAGGGAGACUUUUUUGGACGAAAUUGAGAGCUUUAGAGAGAGAUUUUAGAGCAACUAAAGGCAACUUCAAGGACCUCGGAAUCGGUGAAGUAAUCAAGAUGGCGAAUCAAGUUCUUGGGGAAGAUCGACAAAAUUAGGUUUUUCAUAAUUCUUUGUGUAAACCUAGAAUCAAUGUCUUCCUCUUUUGAUUUUUAUUUGUCUAUCGAGAUCAUGAGCGGCUAAACUUCUCUUGCUUGGAUUAGAUGAACUCUAAGUUAAUUCCUAUGAACGAAUGAUUUGAUACGUUUGGCGAUUUAUGCGAGUUAGUUGGAUUUCAUUGCAUAUUUGAUUUCGCUUUCAAUUUGUUCUUGCUUGAUCAACUUGAAUUAAAUCUCUGUUAGAUUUGUCUUAGACUCGAGAGAGCUUGCAUAUCUAGAAUGUCAAAAUCAAAUAACUAGGUUUUAGAUGUUAACCCUCAUCUAGGAGCGAAUGAACUAGUCUGCCGUGCGAGCAAUUCUAAAUCGGUAAAUCGCCUAGCGGAUUUUAAAUCUUUGUCUCGGAAGAGUGGACUAGAAUACUAGAUAGGUAGCAAAUUAGCAGACCCGAAAGGGCAUAAAUUGAUUAGAGAAUAAUUGUAACAAUAUAAUGCAUCUAUCAUGUUUCGUUUAAAUCGUGGAAUUUUUCUGUCAUAUGUGAAUUAGAAUUGCCUAGGCGGAUUCGACAUCUAUGCUGUUUCAUCUUUGAUUGUCAACCUUAUGUCAUGCAGUCUUGCAACCUGUUUAUUUGAAAGCAAUUUUCUUCUUUUUCUACUGUUUGAUUGAUCUUCGUGGUACCUAACCACACUACUUGUUACUUCGAUUGAUACUAAUUACAACUUUGAGUAAGAUACUUGAAGAGACCUUAGGGAGAUUCAACUCGGUUAAUUCAUUAACUGGUUUAUUUUGAUAACGAGUAAAAUCCAUUCAUCAAAUUGAUGUCUACCACCCCUGCUCCAAAAGUUCGAAGGCAUGCAAACACAAGUUUUGUGCUCACUCCUUAAGAAAUCAAGAAGCAUGCUAGGAUUCCAUAUCUAGUAGCAGUUAAGAAGAAGGGGCUAUCAAGGAGUUUGAGAGGUUUGUUGAAAUCAUUAAGAGGCUUUCACAAAGAUUCCAACAUAUGCCAAGUUCUUGAAGGAUGUACUAAACAAGAAGAUCAAUCUUAGCGAUUCAACAGAGGUCUCCAUAUAUGAAGAAGGCGUAGCUAUUCAAGUCGGACCUACAAAGCAAAUAGACCCAGGGAGCUUUACUCUACCUUGCACUAAUAAUAAUGUUAAAGUUGGUAGAGUUCAAACUUUACCAUUACUACAUUAUUGAAAAUUUAAAUAUUGUUACUACAUCAUUCGAAAAUACAAUACUAAUAACACUAACACUACUCGUCUUCAUUAUCCUCCUCCCCUUCCUCUUCCUCAUCAGGUGGUGGGCAAUUCUCGAUCAGUCUUUUUCCUUUGGAAACUCCCGAUGGUCUGGAAGCUCCAGAUGAUUAUGGUACAAAACCUUCAAAGAUUCGAGCCAUCGGUGCAUCUCGGGGGAGAGAGUACCAGUUUGCUUCUGAAACUCCACAAGCAUAAGCUUUGCAAACUAUCGCAUGACUGGGUCCUCGACUUGAACUCGUGGAGGAAAAGGACUUUGUGUGCUGCUUGAACUCGAACCAAACUCCUUACAAAUGAACACAAGACUUAUUAAGUUUACCGAAGAUCGGAUAUGGCAUAUCUGUAUAUACUACUAACACAUACUCUUCCAACUACAAAAUUAGAAAAAAAGUACAUGCCAAAUUCACAAACAAGCCAACAAUCACAUAACAUGUUCACUAACAAAUUCACUAACCCAUGACAAGUUGAUUAGAUUAUAUUUUUCUUUUAACUACAAACAUAGAUGGUUUUAGUUAACUUACCACUGAAGGCUUCUUGGCAAAUCUCAUAUGACACACUCUUCCCGGCUUUUAUUUUCCUUGAUAGCAUCUCCCCACGGCAUCAUUCAGGCCAACCUGUGAAUUAUCAAUGGUUGGACCAUUGAUAUUCCUUCCCACUUGAUUAUGCAUGCACAAAAAGAAAACAUAUACAGUUAAGAAUGUAUUUCCACCAUACAUAUAUAGAAAGAACAUAAAAAUUAAAGUUCAUACAAAAUUUAGGGUACUUGAAUACUUACAUACAUCUCUCUGUCGCAUCAUUGGGGAACUUCUUCUUCUUCCUAUCCGGCUUGUGAGUUUCUAGGAAAAGGUAUCCCCUACUAAUUGGCCCUCCUUUUUCUUCCUCCUAUGAAACCAUGUACACAUGAAGUUUGGCUUCAAAAUUUAGGAAACAAAUGCACUUUCAAAUUUAAUUCAUACCCGUUGUUAUUGCGUUAUGUUGAAUGGCCUCAACCCGGUUGUAUGGUAGGUCGACUGUUUCUUUCUGCUGUCCUUGUUAAUUGUAGAUAUCCUCACUCCCUUUGUUCCUAACGUGUACUUCACAAACCUCUCCCAAUCGUGAACUUCAUAAUCGGGAUUAGGCUUCACUACUACAUAGUGAGGUAUAGUCUUAGGGUUUUUUGGGUCAUGAACUUUCUUCCAAACUGCCCCUCGAUGCUCUUUCCACUUCUUCCCUAGAUCUUGGAAGAUAUACUUUCAUAUGUCUUUAUCAUCCUUAGGCCUCUAACAGAACUUAGACUAUAUAUAGAUUGAUUUAACAAAGCAUUGAUAAAAGAUAUAAAAUGCUCUAAUCCUCUAAAUAAGAGAGAGAAAAUACUCUACUAUUUACCUUUAUGAGUUUGUGCCAACAAUCGGCCUUGUCCAAGUCGCUCACAUAUCGCCAAUCGUCCUGGCUAAUGGGGAAGCGUUCCAGUUUAAUGAUCUUCCCAAGCACCUGUCGUAGGUAAUGGCUCGAUUGUUUGUAAGGAACUCGCAUCCAACUAGAUGAAAAUCCUCCUCCCAUCCUGCCCAAUAUUGCUCCACUCUCUAACCGUCCACGUUUCCUCAGACUGGUUACCAUUUUCAUCUACAAAACCAAUACAUCAUAUAUUUUACAAACACAUACAUAUAAAAUAUACAUACGUGAUAUAGAGUUGAGUCAGAAAGUAUACAUAUUGUACAUGCAACACAUAUACCACUCUGACGCCUCCUUCUCCGCUACAUGCCGCCGAUCAUCAUCAUCACCUCCAUGUCCUCCAGUGCUACUACCUCCCAUAACGUCUACCAUGAAUGAAACCAUAUAAUACACUCAGAGACAAAUGGCUAUAUAUAAAAUAUAUGCAUUAACUUGAACAAUCAAAUGUUGGAAAAGGUAUAAUGCCUCAAUCAAAUUCUGCUUCCACACCAAACCGCGAGAGACAUUAAUUUGAUCCAUCGUUAAUAUUAGGCAACUCUUGGCACUAGAAUGCCUCGGAUACAUGUCAUGAAUUGGUUUCAUCACCCAUUUCAUACAAGUCCCUCGGUUUAAUAUGAAUCGGAACACACCAUUUUGGCUUUUUCACAUCAGUAACAUAGUACUCCAUCUUGGCAAUACUUUCUGCCACGUAUGGCUCAUCUCCAGCUUGAAUACUGACGACACUCAAUUUUUCAUGUUCAUCAUCCUCAUUUAAGCGACAUUUCAUGCAUAAUUGUAUUGCUUUAGGUAGAUGUUUAGGAUGUUUUAUGCAUUUUAAGCUUUUAUCUCGAUUUAGUGUCUCGGACCCGGUAAGGGUUCAUUUGAUAUCGUUUUGGAGUGUUUUUGAUAGAUUUCAGGUACAUAACAACAUUGAAGCAUUAAUCAGGGCGAUAUAGUAUGUGUGGAUGGUCUAAGACAGGCAAUAGGAAGCAUUUUGACAACUUCAAGGAGCUUGGAUAGCGACUUGGUCGGGAAACGUCGCAGUUUUGUAUUUUGCACAUAUCUCCUUGCUCAGAAGUUUGAUUGAUGCAAAGCUAGCGGCGUUGGAAAGCUCAUUCAAUUUUCUAAAACUUUUAAUGAAAGAGUUAUGUCAAGAUUUCCGCUAUGGGUCUGUCAAAUUUUCCGCUAUGCACAUAACGGCAAAAUUGACAUUUUAUAGCGGCAAACUUGACAACUCUCUUUGGAAACAGGUCAAGAUUGCCGAUAUGGAUGUGUCAAUCUUGCCGCUAUGCCCAUAGCGGCAAGAUUGACAAACUAUAGCGGAAAAGUUGACAUUCCAGAAAAUUGAUGGAUUUUUGGGAACCUCUAUUUAAAGCCUGAUCCUCCCUCAUUCGAAGAAAGACUUCCCUGGACGAAAUUGAGAGCUUUAGAGAGAUAUUCAAGAGCAACAAGAAGGCGACUUCAAGGAGCUCGGGAUCUACAAAAUAAUCAAGACAGUGAAUCAAGUUCUCGAGAAGAUCGGCAAAAUUAGGUUUUUCAUAAUUGUUUGUGUAAACCUAGAUUCAACGUCUUCCUCUUCUGAUAUUGAUUUGUCUAUCGAGAUUACGAGCGGCUAAACUUCUCUUGCUUUGAUUAGAUGAACCCUAGGUUAAUUCAUAUGAAUGAAUGAUUUGAUACGCUUGAUGAUUUAUGCGAGUUGGUUGGAUUUCAUUGCAUAUUUGAUUUUUCAAUUUGUUCUUACUUGAUCAACUUGAAUUAAAUCUCUGUUAGAUUUGUCUUAGACUCGAGAGAGCUUGCAUAUCUAGAACGUCGCAAUCAAAUAACUAGGUUUUAGAUGUUAACCCUCAUCUGGGAGCGAAUGAACUAGUCUGUCGUGCUAGCAAUUCUAAAUCGUUAAAUCGCAUAGAGGGUUUUAGAUCUUUGUCUCGAAAGAGCAGACUAGAAUACUAGAUAGGUAGCAAAUUAGCAGAUCCGAAAGGAUGUGAUUUGAUUAGAGAAGAAUUGUGAAAGUGUAAUGCAUCUAUCCUAUUUCGUUUAAAUUUUGGAAUUUUUUUGUCAUUUUUGAAUUAGAAUUGCCUAGUGUGAUUCGACAUUUAAGCAGUUUGAUCUUUGAUUGCCUAAACUCUUAUCGUGUAGUCUUGCAACCCUGUUUACAUUAAAGCAAAUUUUCAUUUUCUUUUAUGAUUGAUUGAUCAUCGUGGACCUAAACCACAUUCAUUGAUAUGUAAAUUAGUACUAAUUACAAGUUUGAGUAAGAUACUUAAAGAGACCCUAGGAAAACUCGACCCGGUUAAUUCAUUAACCGGUUUAUUUUGAGAACGCCCAAAUUUCGUUCAUCAACUACCUGUGCUUAUUACAUAAGAGAAGUUAACACAUUCAAAUCCAAGGUAAUCUUUCCUGUAGCCCCUGUUUGUUAGGGUAUUAGUCAACUUGCAUUUGAAUAAUGCGACUAAUCGUCCACAUUAAUUCAAUUGAAUGAUAUCUUCCAAUUUCCUAUAAUGUGGGCUGAACCAUCCACCGGGUUAAUGUCUAUUGAACUAGCAUAACUUUGAGUACUAAAGUUAACAAACACUCCAUAGUUAUGUGUUUUUAGCAUCCUCUCCCGUUCCAGAGUGCGGAAUCGGUAGCCAUUCACAUCAAAUGUUGAAAACUUGGUUGCUUCUUUGAAAGAACCUCUUGCCAGCAAUUUGAAAUCAGUGGAAUGAGUCACAUCUUUAUCAUUGAUGAUCUUCAUCAAAUAUAAAAUUCAAUGGUAAUUGCUAAUUAACCAUAGUGUAGGUAACAUUCUGUAAGAAAACUACUUAUAAGACAUACCCGCCAUCUAAACCAGUUUGGAAAUUCAAGAUGAACAUUUUUCUGUAUUUCUGAGGCUGCUCUCCAUUGUGCUCUCACACCUUGAUACUUACCAUUUACUAUAGAUUCGUAAUCCUCAAUAAAUGGUCCAACACUUUCACAGUUGAACAACACAUAUCGAUGUGCUUGUAGCAUCUCGUGCUUUUUUAACUUGUAAGGCUUUCCACUCCUCACUGCUUUGCCAACUACUAGAAAAAGCUCUAAAAAUAUAAUUGAUUGCUCCUCAUCCGGUUCAUGGACCCGUCUUUCAUGAUUCAAUUGUGACUCAAUAUGACUGUGCAGGUACAACAAGCAAAAGGUGAAUAUUUCAUCUGAUAUCCAACUGUCAACAAUUGAUCCUUCUAUUUUUGCUCUAUUGCCAACAAAGCCUUUCAACUUCCUAAAAACCUACAAAUUUGAAUUAAUUGUUCAAGUUAUGUUCAAAUGGAAAAACUCUUAAAUACAAUUAUGAAAAGCAGAGAGAUAUACCUCUCAACCGGAUACAUCCACCUAUAUUGGACUAGGUUGCCAAUUCAAACUUCCUCAACCAGAUGGAGUACAAGAUAUACCAUCACAGUGAAAAAAGAUUGCGGAAAGAUCACUUCCAAGUGACACAUGGCGAGGACAAGUCGUUCUUGUAUAGUAUCUAGGUCAUUGCAAUCGACAACUCGUGCAGAUAGAGCCUUGAUGCAUAAACUGAAUUUAACAAUCAAUGCAGCCACUUGUUUUGGUAAUACAUUUCUUAAUGCCAUAGGUAACACUUCAUGUAAUAAAAUGUGUGCAUCAUGAGUCUUCAUUCCGAACAUCCUCCAUUGGUCGAGGUGGACACAACGAGAGCUGUUACUAGCAUAUCCUUUUGGAAAUGAAAAAUCCUUGAGUGUCUGUAGGAUUGUGUCAAUCUCCUGCUUAGCCAAAGUAAAUAAAGCUGUAGGGCAUCUACCAUUCUCGUCAGGUCACAAUUCCCUUUUAAUUUUCAUAGUUACUAAAUCUUUCCGUGCUGCCAGAUGAUCUUUUUGUUUGUCUUUGUCAAUAUGCAUUACAUCAAGAUUGUAUCGCAUGAGAUUGAACGCCCAAUAAGGGAGUUCAAAGAAUAUUCUUUGUUUCUUUCAUUGCUUCACCUUCUUAUCACUAUCUUGAGAUCUCUUCUUCCCGGUCUUAGGAUCUUCAAUCUUGCGAAAUACUACAUUCACAUUGUCAACUUGUCCCAAAAUCUCAGAAGCAGAUUUCAUAAUGGAUGGAUGCCUCAAUUCAGUCUUACCAUCAAAUCGAGUUCGUUGUUGUCUGAAACGAUCAGUUAUUGGUAAGAACCGACGACUCCCCAUAAUUUUUUUUUCCACUAAGUAGGAGACACAAUGGAAGUGAGUCAAAAUUGCUAGUCGGACAAGCCUGACCAGUGUGAGUGUUCCAUCCAGAUAGUAUUUCUAAACAUGGAAAAUCAGUGAUUGUCCACAUCAAUGCUGCCCUUAGUGUGAACAUUUCAUUUUUACUAACAUCAAAAGCUUAUACCCCUUCCCACAAAGUUUUCAACUCAUCAAUCAGUGGACUUAGGUACACAUCGAUAUCAUUACUAGGUUAUUUCUCCCCAGGAAUAAUGCUAGAAAGCAUAAUACUAGUCUGCUUCAUCCACAACCAUGGAGCUAUGUUGUAUGGAAACAAAAGUAUAGGCCAAGUGCUAUGAUUGGUACUCAUAGUACCAAAAGGGUUGAAACCAUCACUAGCAAGUCCAAGUCUUAUGUUCUUAGGUUCACUAGCAAACUCAGGGUACUUCAUAUCAAAAUCCUUCCAAGAUUUUGAAUCUCGCGGAUGUGUGAGAAUCCCAUCAGUAGUACUCUCGAUUGAGUGACAAAUCUUAUCCUCUGUAGUUUUAGCAACCAUGAACAACCUCUUCAAAUGUGGAAUGAUCGGAAAAUAAUGGAAAACCUUAUUUCUAAUUGGCUUCCUCUUUUGUAUUAUAGCAAUUCCCAGUUUACUAUGCUUUGGAGUCUUCAACCUAGGUUCAUUGCAAACUCUACAACUCAGAUCAUUGAUGGAACCUCUCCAAUAUAACAUGCAGUCAUUAGGAGAUGCAUCUAUUUUGUUAUAUGUGAGCCUUAAUGCUUUAACUAUUCUUUACGUCAUAUCCAGAUUUUGGAAGGAGAGAAAAAUCAAACGCCUCCCGCAAUAACUCCAGUAUCCUAGACAUAGCCUUGUCACUGAUUUUGUACAUGUACUUAAUGUGGUACAACCUCAUUAGAAAUGAAAUUUUAGUGAACUUGCACCCAGUGUAGAGCUUCUCUUCUCCAUCUUUCAUCAAACGGACGAACUCGGCAUGUUCUGUAUCCACUGCUGUAGUAUUUGACCUGGAUUCACCACCCAUAACAUCGUCUACAUCUGCACCUUCUUAUCUAACAACACCAAAUGCAGCAUGCAACCGAUCAUGCAUCACUUUUACGUGACUACCUUGAUCAGAAUCGUUGUCUACAGUUGGGUUUGAAGCACUGCCUGCCACUAUCGUUUGAUGACUUGAUGACCCCCCAUCUCCACGCUUUUCCCCAAGGAUAUCCAAAAUUUUAUAUUGAAUAGAAUGCACACCGUAAUAAGUGAUCAAAUACCUUGUCUCGGGUUAGCUUUUUAUUGCAGCAACAUCCAGGACAAGGACAAGGAAUUGAUUGAACAGCUGGCCGAGCUUGUGCAUAUGCAAAAUCUAGAAAAUUCUCUACUCCUUGUAUGUACUCUGGAGUGUUUCGUUGCAUAUGCAUCCAAGACUUAUCCAUUUUUUGUCCUAAAGACCCUAAUUAGUCAAAUUGUUAGCAAGUAAUUAGCACUCAUAAUGAUCUAAAUUAAAUUAAAGAGUAUGAGUAUAAAAGUAUUUUUGAACAUUUCAGCAUGACCCAUUCAUUUAUACUUAUAUACUCAUACUCUUUAAUCUGCACAAAUAAUAUUUCACUACAUACUAAUAGUUUCUAAGCAAUCUCAUUUCUAAUCAAUUAAGCACACUACAUACUACUAUCUUUGUAAGCAAACUCAUUUUUAGGCACAUUCCAUUAUCAAGCUACUGAAUUCCAGUUUAGAUACCAAUUACACAAUUAUAAUACAUAUGUUAAUCAACAAAGCACUUUACUACAUUUUAAAGCAAACCUAUUUGAAAACACACCACAUUACCACAAUACCAUACAUGGUUUAAGGUAUUAGACUACCAACCUCUAUGUAGAAGGAAAUCGAACAUAGAACACAAAACCAAAAAUAUCAACAUAUACCAACCUCGAAUUAGAUCCACCCAAUGCAAUAGAAGUCGAUGUGUGCUCGAUUUCUUUAGAAUAACUCCAACACAAUACAUCAUUAUCACUCAUUAGCAAUUCUAAAAACCCUAACACUAAGAACCCUAACACUAAGAACCCUAACAUUUCUAAGAACCCUAACUAAUAACCCCUAAAUUCUAUUAGGAAAUGGGAAAAUACAUAUUUACACUAUCGUAUUAUGCAAAGUUUAUAUCCGCACCCCAGUACAAUAUUUCAACCGAUCAGACACCCUAUAAUUUGAAAAACAAUUUCUAACAUAUAACCUAAUUUUGACCUAACUUACUUGAUUGAGUAGGGAUCCAAGUGCAGGAGUUUGAUGGAGGAGCACCCACCACCAGCGACCAAUAGCCGGUGACCAAUUUCAAUUAGGCAGAGGAGAAAGAUAGAUGAGAAGAAAGAAAAUGAGGAAGCAAGGGGUUCUUGCUGCUGGUAUCCCGUGUAUUUAACAACGGUUCUAAACCAUAGUUAAAUGGUCUAACCACGGUUCAUUUAACAUCGGAUAAUUAUCUGCUGUUAAAUAGAACGUGUACACCAUCGUUUCCCCUUAGCAGGACUUGGCGCUCGUUUGUGAACAUUUAACAACGUAUAUAGUCCGGGGUAAACCUAACGGCGGAUAUUAUGCUCUCUUAAAUGUUCGUUUUAAUAGCGGUUAUGUAUCCACGGUUAGCCUAUACCACACCCGCCAUUAAAUCAAACGUUUAACGGCGGAUAUAAGUCUGCUGUUAAAAUAUGUGUUGUUAGAAAGACAGAUUAUUGUAGUGAACCCUCAUCCGGGAGCGAAUGAACUAGUCUGUCGUGUGAGCAAUUCUAAAUCGGUAAAUCGCCUAGCGGGUUUUAGAUCUUUGUCUCGAAAGAGUGGACUAGAAUACUAGAUAGGUAACAAAUUAGCAUAUCCGAAAGGGCGUGAUUUGAUUAGAGAAGAAUUGCGACAGUGUAAUACAUCUAUCUUGUUUCGUUUAAAUCGUGGAAUUUGUCUGUUAUUUGUGAAUUAUAAUUGCCUAGGGGGAUUCGACAUCUAAGUAGUUUCAUCUUUGAUUGUCAACCUUAUAUCGUGCAAUCUUGCAACCCGUUUACUUUUAAGCAAUUUUCAUCUUUCUUUUUGACUGUUUGAUUGAUUUUCGUGGCACCUAAACUAUACUACUUUAUACUUCGAUUGAUACUAAUUACAACUUUAAGUAAGUUACUUGAAAAGACCCUAGAAAGAUUCAACUCAGUUAAUUUAUUAACCGAUUUAUUUUGAUAACGAGUAAAAUCCUUUCAUCAAGUAAUAACAACAAGGAACAAACAAUAAAGAGAUGAUGGAUGCAUAAACCCUAAGCCUUGAAGAUGGCCGUUUUACUUCGACGAACAAGAGCCAUUAUGUCUCCAUUACUACCACUACGGCUGCCGGGAGGGCUUCUCAUUGCCGGAUGAUCUUCUCAUUCCACCGUUCUUUUUCUUCUGCUGUGGCUGCUGUUGAUGCUGAUGAAUACUGCUUUGCUGCACCCAACACAUCCCCAAAAAUUUUAGAAAAAACAAUGUUCUAACCAUUUCAUUUCAUCCUAACAACAGAUCUGAUUUACCUGGAAAUCAAACGUGGAUGUCCUCUGCCCUUUCCCACCCGCUGUAAUCGUGUCCUGAACUGGUACUGCAGAAUUUUAUACCCACGCCCUUUGUCAAGAAACCCAUAUUACCAUAUAUACUAAUACAAGAAGCUUUAUUAAUCUUUCUUUCAGUCAAAGAAAAUGCUGUUAGUACCAAUGGAGAGACUUGCGUUUAUAGAAGAAGGCUUGUGAGUGUAUGUAUAGAAAAAAAGUGGCAACUCCUCUGCUGCCUCAAACAUCACCUUCUUGUUGCACUUAUUGCUUUUGUCAUGUCUGGAUUUCUCUGCUGCACUUACCAACAAGCUACUAAUUAGUCUUCGGCCUGAUUUGGCAGGUGAGAAGUAUGAUAGAAUUUUGAGCAUUUUCAUUUGAGCGGGAAACUUAUAUUUCAACGAAUGUAUUUUGGAAGUUAACUUUUUUAUUUUUAUCCAAAUUUCAUUCUAUUUUUCAUCUGCCAAAUCAAACAUUCGAAUUGAGUUAUUUAAGUAAGGUUUGACAUCUACAAUGAUGAUUCUCAAAAAAGUUAAAUUGAAGUGGGGUGAAAAAUGUUUCAAGUGAAAUUGUAUUUCCCAAACAUACUCAAAAUGGAAAUCAAACUUUUUAACAAUCGUUCAUAUUCCUUAAUUUAACUUUCCUUCGACUAGUCCUCCCCAACUUGAACUCAACGUCUGUUCAUUAAUUUGAAUUCAACUUUUCUAUGAAACAUGAUUUAUUCUAUUGGUCGAACCUCAACGUUACUCGAAUCAAUUGGACGGCAAAAAGAACCCUUACGUGUCCAGAGAUAGCGGGGUUGUGAUUUUGGGAAGUUGCGGCUCCAUCUUGUCCUAGUCAGUGCAAUCUUCUGUGCGUACAGUUCAUACGCAAGAAAUCUCUGGACAGAAUUAGUUUAUACAUAUGAGAUUUAAGUUAAACCGUCCUAGGAAUAACCCAUUAUAUUCAGAAAGAGUCAAGUCUUUUUACUAACUUGCUUCAAGGAAUGUAUCCUGAGUUCAGCUUCAGAGAAGCCAGUAGCAUUGUCAGAAAUGGUGAUGUUCAGAUUGGCUGAAACACUGCCCAAAUGAUCCACAACUGUUACAACGGCACUGCAGACGUACUCUUUUGUGCUCUCCAGUAUCCUGUUCUUCCAAUUUCAUGCCAACAUCAAUUAAUUAGUUUUCAUAUAAUUUUUAACAGACACAAAAAAGAAACCACAGAGGAGUCUGCAGCAAGCUAAGACUGACUUUUUCUUGUCGUUGGACUUGAGAAAACUCUUCUCGCAGUAAGCUGCUGCAUUAUGGAGCUGAGACUUCAACUCCUUAAGCUCCUGCACAAGAAAUACAAAUAAAUAAAAACCCCACCAAUGGAAAAGAAUCAUUCAGAAGAAGAGAAGCCACUAAUUCUGUUAAAAAGUAAUCACUUGGAGAGACUUGAGGAACUGAGACGGUUGGUGGUCUGAAUCCAUUUUUGAGCUCAGAAGAAAAGUGGCUCAGCCUUAUCUAUUUGUGCCUAUAUAUGAGCACCUUGUUUAUGUUUUCUACCUGAGAAAACGAUAGAGCAGAAUGGGAAAGAUGAAAUGAUAGUGUAAUUUAGUAGGCUGAUGAUGCUAUUGAACACCAUAAUAAUAAUAAUGAGUUUCAGAAGCAACGAUACACCGUGAUUAAACACUAGAGAUAACAGAAGGAAACAAAAAGGCCAUUAGAAUGGGAUUCUGUGAAAAUAGCCAAAAAAGGGGGCUUCACCCGUGAACUUUUUGUUCCUUUUUCUUCGAAAUUGCAUUAGAAACGUUAAGUCACGUUCAGUUCCUGACUGACAAAAUAUUUGUAGAAAGCCGAGGUAUGCAAUUAACUUAACUUAACUACAUGCAUCUGACAGUCUGCAUUUAAAGUUGUUUAAGCUCUGUUCCUAAACAAGGGCAUUUCCGGGUGAAUUCUGUUGCUGCUUAAUCAAUGCUCCUAGAUUCCAUUUCCCCUGAAUUCGAUGCACAAGCAUUAUUAUAAUAUAUANNNNNNNNNNNNNNNNNNNNNNNNNNNNNNNNNNNNNNNNNNNNNNNNNNNNNNNNNNNNNNNNNNNNNNNNNNNNNNNNNNNNNGGUUGUGGAUGGAGACAAGAUUGUCGACUAACAAGUUCAAAUCAACGCUCCAUCAUCCACAGCCGACUUCCGGACGACCUGCUAAAAUAAAAAUAAUAAUGUUUGAAAACUAUCCAGACAGAAAAAUUGCUGAGUAUACGCCCACUUAAUUAACCACUACUGUUUUUUAAGCACCAAAUACCACUUGCAUUUAGCAUCGAUCAGUUUCUCAUGCAACCAUUUUUUCGGAUUGAAAAAAUAGAAAAUAGAAAUAAAUAUUAUAAAAUGUGUUCAUUUCAAAGGAUUUGUAAGAUUCAAAUUCAGAAUCUUCAAACUAAACAUUAUAAAAGAUGUUCAUUUCAAGGGAUGUGUUGGAUUCAAAUCCAGAAUCUCCAAAUCAAACAUUAUAAAAAAUGUUAAUUUCAAAGGAUGUGAGGGAUUCAAAUCCAAAAUCUCCAAACCACCUAUNNNNNNNNNNNNNNNNNNNNNNNNNNNNNNNNNNNNNNNNNNNNNNNNNNNNNNNNNNNNNNNNNNNNNNNNNNNNNNNNNNNNNNNNNNNNNNNNNNNNNNNNNNNNNNNNNNNNNNNNNNNNNNNNNNNNNNNNNNNNNNNNNNNNNNNNNNNNNNNNNNNNNNNNNNNNNNNNNNNNNNNNNNNNNNNNNNNNNNNNNNNNNNNNNNNNNNNNNNNNNNNNNNNNNNNNNNNNNNNNNNNNNNNNNNNNNNNNNNNNNNNNNNNNNNNNNNNNNNNNNNNNNNNNNNNNNNNNNNNNNNNNNNNNNNNNNNNNNNNNNNNNNNNNNNUAAGAGCAAAUUUGUUUACAAACUCUGGUUUAGCGACCAUUUUGUACAGAAAGAAUAAUUUCAUCAACCCAUGCAGUACUUUCAUAGACUAGACCGGUCAUGUGUACUUUUGUAAGCAGUGGAACAAUCCAUAACUUUCAAAGUUGGAGGGGUACAUCUAUUUAGAGACAUCACCCUUCAAACCUGCUAAAUAUCAAGGUAAUAAUCCUUUUUAUUAUUAUUUAGUGAAUAAAAUAAAAUUCUAAUAAUUUUAUAAAAACCAGAGAAGGUAGGUUUCUUAACUUAAGGGAUUCAACUACCUUAAUUGGAAUAAAGGAAACUUCCUAAUUAAUAUAAAAUUAAGAAAGGUAUUUCAACACUUCUCCUCAAUCUUGACGUAUGAGUUGUAUAGGACGAGUUUGGACUUCAAAUGCUCUAACAUUUCUCGUGAUGUGGUCUUGGUGAACACAUUUGAUGUUUGUUAUGCGGAAGGAACAUACAGUACUUCAAUAACUCCACUCGAUGCCUUAUCAAAAAUGAAAACUGCCUAUCAACUUUAACAUGCUUGGUCUUGUCAUGAUGAACUGGAUUCUUAACAAUGCUUAUAGAAGAUUUGCUAUCGGUUCUCAUAACUAUAGGUCCUCUUGAUUCAACCUUUAGUUCACCUAAGAUCCGUUGUAGCCAUAUGCCUACUAUAUAUUCAGCUUCGACACUGCUUCGUGCAACCACUUGUUGUUUCUUACUCUUCCAAGUCACUAGGUUUCCCCACUGAUACGUACAGUACCCACUGAUCUUCGAUCCGUUAGUUCCCCUGCCCAGCUCGCAUCAGUAUAGACUUCAACUCCUCUAGCUGAAUGCUUCCGAAAGCGUAAACCAAGGCCUGGAGUUCCUUUUAGGUAUCUUAAGAUUCGUAGGACAACCUCCAUGUACUCUUCUGUAGGGUCCUGCAUUUGUUGACUGACAAUACCAACUGCAGGCCUUGUAUGGGCUAAAUAUAUGAGUUUACCUACAAGUUUUUGAUAUCUUUCUUUGUCAGUUGGUUUGCUCGAUUCUUCUUGAUUCCACUUCUUAUUAUGUUCCAUAGGCAUGUCAACUGGUUUACAGCCAAUGACUCCAGUUUCAAAUAGUAGAUCGAGAAUAUAGUUCCCCUGACAUAUUAUCAAUCCUUCUUUAGACCUGGCCACUUCCUUACCAAGAAAAUAGCGUAGCUGACCCAAAUCCUUGCUUUCGAAUUCUGUGGACAGCAACUGCUUUAGUCUCUGAAUCUCAGACUCAUUGUCUGCAGUGAUGAUAAUAUCAUAAACAUACACAAUUAGGAUCGACACCUUCCCAUUUGGAUUGUGUUUUACAAACAAGGUGUGAUCUGUUUGACACUGUUUGUAACCACCUUCCUUCACAGAAGUGAUGAAUCUUUCGAACCAUGCCCUAGGUCACUGCUUUCAGCCAUAAAGUGCUUUCUUUAGUAGACACGUUGUUCCUGGUUCCUUCUUAUCAACACCAUUAGGGAUAUUCAUGUAGACCUCUUCUACUAGAUCACCAUUGAGUAAUGUAUUCUUUACAUCCAGUUGGAAUAGUGGCCAAUCCUGAUUAACUGCAAGAGACAAAAGAACUCGGGUAGUGUUAGGUUUUGCAACCGGGGCAAACGUCUCCUGAUAGUCAAUUCCUUGAGACUGAGUGAAACCCUUUGCUACUAAUCGAGUCUUAUAUCUCUCAACACUACCAUCAGCCUUGUACUUCACUGGUAAAUAUCCACUUACAACUCACAAGUCUCUUCUCUUGGGGGCUCGAACUAUUUUCCAAGUCUUGUUCUUUUGUAAUGCAUGUAAUUCACUUUCAACAGCCUUCUGCCAUUCAGGGUGACUCAUGGCUUCCUCGAUGUUGCGUGGUAUUUGUAUAGUGUCAUGGUUAGUGACAAAAGCGUUGUGGGUUGACCCUAGCUGACUGUAGUUGACAUACUUCGAUAUUGGAUGCUUGGUGCACUCUUGGACCCCUUUCCUAUAGGCAAUAUGAAGGUAAAGGUCUCCAUCAUUCAUACUUUGGGAAGCAACUUUUCUUUUGUUUCUCCAGCUUCACCCAAUUCUUCCUCUUCAAGUGAGUGAUUAGACGGACUAGCUGUGUCCUCAACUGGUGUUGUCCGUCGAACAAAUGUUUUGAGUAAUGGGAGGUCGAGUACCUAGAGACACAACAUUCUCCCCCUCGGGCCCACAUCCCUCCUCAUUUACAGGACUCUCACUAUUUGGUGGAGGUGAAGGUGGAAUCGAAACAAUAUGAUCCUCCAUCGAGGCCUCACAGGUUGGUGAAGGUUGUAUCUCCUCCAUUGAUACCUCCUCCUGUGUAGAGAAGGUAUCCCACAACAACGAUUCCAUUGUAUGCCUAGGCUUCUCCCCCUGAAUCGUAGCAGCGGGAAAAUAAGGCUCGUGCUCAAAGAAAGUGCCAUCCAUUAUGUGAAAGAAUUUCUUAGAGCUAGGAGAAUAACACUUGUAUGCCUUCUGAUGGGUGGAAUAUCCAAUGAAGACACACUUGUGGGACCGAGGGUCCAAUUUUGAUCUAUGAUGCGCAUACACAUGGACAAACACAGUGCAACCGAAUACCUUUAAAGGUAGAGUCGAUGAGAAAUCAUGUAUAUGUGGAUAAGCUUGGAGAAGAACCUGCCGUGGUGAUUGGUACUUUAGGGGUCGACUAGGGAGCCGAUUGAUGAGAUAGGUAGCAGUUAGGAGAGCCUCGCCCCAUAGAUACUUGGGCACAUAACGUGUGAACAUCAUAGUUGGUGCAACAUUCAAGAGAUGUCGGUUCGUCUGUUCAGCAAUCUCAUUCUUCUCGGGGGUUUCGACAUACGAAUUGAUGUGAUUAAUGCCAUUUUCGUGUAGAAAAUACCCCAAGACAGAAUUAAAAUAAUCCUUAGCAUUAUCAAAUUUCAGAAACCUUGAUUUUAGAUUAGAACUGAAGUUGUACCAUAGUUGAGAAGGAUUUGAAUACUGAGCAUGUUUCAGACUUAUUCUUCAUGAGAAAAGUCCAAGUCAUGCACGUAUGUUCAUCAAUCAUUGUAACAAACUAGCAUGCUCCACUUAGAGUAGGGACACCACAUGGACCCCAAAUAUCGCUGUGAAUGAUAGAAAUGGUGUUGUGGCAAUAUAUGCAACAGUCGGAUGCACCGUUUUGGUGUGUUUGGCAUAUUGGCAGACAUCAUAGUUAAACUAAAUCGAUCGUUUAUUAGAAAAUAACUUGGAAAACAAUUUUUCAAGAUAACUGAAACUGGGAUGACCCAUCUGAAUAUGCCAUAACAAAAUCUGACUGUCUACACUACUAGCUUCUGAACUCUGAACUCCAGAACUAAGGGCUGAUUUGUAACUUGAUGAUUCUCCUUGUAACCGGUACAAUCCGUCCACCAUGUCAGCUUUGCCAAUCAUCAUCCCUAAACUUAAAUCCCGAAACUCACAUGAUCCAGCACCAAAUAUUAAUUCACACUUCAUAUCUCUGGUUAGUUGACUAACAGAGAGUAGAUUGCAGCUUAGUUUAGGUACGUAAAGGACAAGGAAGAGGGUAAUGGACAGUGUGACUUUCACUCGUCCAAUCCCUUUUAUUGGUGCCAAAGUACCAUCAGCAAUCCUUACUCCUGAAUCCAUGGGAUAGGGUUGGAUAUCCUGUAUGAUACUUUGAUUUCCUAUCAUGUUGUCUAUACACCCAGAAUCGAGAAUCCAUAUAGCAACACUAUUCUGAAUUUGAGCAGUAGAAGCAUAGGAAUAGAUACCUUUACUAACAACCAUAUGACUAGAUGAUGGUCCAGUGGAAGAAGUGGUGAACUUGGUGCACAUCUUCUUGAGAUGAUGGUACAGUGGAACUUCUUUUUGUUGGAAAGUGAAAAUGGCUACUUUGGAGUGGAGCAGAUAAGCCGUAUGUAAAAAACAAUGAUGCUAGCCUCAAAGAAGUUCUAAGUUGGGUUGCCCCAACUGAAUGAGCCAGGUAUCGUCUAGUUCAAAGACGUUAAAGAAAGAGCAUGCAUGUGUAGGUAUUAUGUGUGGGACUUGGACACUUGUCCUAGUUUAUUUUUACUUUUAUUUUUGGUUUAUGUGUGUGUGUUUGAGUGAGUUUCAGGAGUUAUAUGGUUUUCGAGUUCGAGUUUCAAUGGAUCAUGCUUUUUUCCUCUUCGAUUUGCUCACAGCUUCUAGGUAUUCCUAUGCAACUUUUCCAUUUCCUUCAGUGAGGACACUGUCCAACUUAAGUAUGGGGUGAGUUUGCAUAUGAUUCUUUUUAGCUAAUCUUGAUGGGUAUUUUUUCAUCUUGCAUAUUAGUAUAGUAGUCCAAAUCUCAAGCGCGUUGGAACCAUCUUUGAAUCAAUUACUUGACAUGCUCAGAAAGUUUUCCUGUGAUUUGUGCACUUGAAUUGGUGAUUUACUUGCGAAUCUAGAUUUGAUAGGAUUUUAGGCCCGUGAAAGUCUAUUGAUUCGUUCUUUAGAGUUACUUUGAUGUGUUUAAAGUAGCAUGGAGUCUCCAACUUGAUAUGACCAGACAUGCAUAUUACUGAAUUACCAUCUAGCAAAAUAAUGCAAGGCCAAAAAGACCAUAUUGUAGUAUAGAUUAUCUGCUUCAUUAGUAAAUUUGUUCUGGAAAAAAAUUGAUUUGAGUGCUCCUAUAUGUUUGUUUUAAUCCGAUACUUGCAUCAUACCGCUUUGAAUUUGCUCGACAUGCACUAAAAUAGAGUUGUUAACCUUGAAACUGUUGAAACAAAUCUUACCCUAGACUUGAGGACAUUGGAGCACAAGCAUGGUGAUUAUGUUCUAUGAACAUAGAGUCCAAUAUUAUAAUUAAAAUAACAUUUAUUAAGUGGUUAGAGAGAUUCCUAAGUUGUGAAAAGUGUAUUGGAUGUGACUGCAACUAGUAAUGAUCCUGCUGGAUUCCAUGAUGUUUAUUCAUACUUAAUCUUCAGCCGGUAUCUUGGCUAUUGCUUCACUUGUGCUUUUGAUGUGUUGUAUUAUAUUGAUCUCAUAAUUGGUUUAGAAAGUUACAGCAGCUUGUAUGUCAAAAACAUGGUCUCGGAGAGAAAGAACCUACUUAGCAGAUUGUCACGUAAUUUGAUGAUUUCGAAUUCCCUUUUCUGUCUCAAGAUAAAGAUAACAACCGUACCUGUGCAGUUCGUCAUGUGUAGCUAUGACCCUAACUCUAACAAACCAUUUCAUUUAUCAUGUUCGGCUCUUCUUACAAUCAUCACCUCUCCUCUAGCCUAUCUCGCCCUACCAAGAGGCCGGAUCAUCCUUUCCUCCUCGUUCCAUAAACACAUCAUGUCAAAAAUCUUUUGGCGGUGGCCCACCCCUACCCCUAAUAGGAGACCUGAUCCUGUCUUUCAAGUCCCUUCCCCAACGUUGAGGUGGUAUCGCUUCGGGUGCCGGUAGAGGCAGGGAAGCUAACCGCCUCUCAAACCCUCUCCUUUCAUCAAAAAUUCCAUCUGUUCCACGUCCUCCUCUAUGGCCCUAUCCUACUACAAGAGAAGACAUUCACCUAUCGAAUUUGCUCCUUCCCCUAUAGUCAUAAUCUGGAUAAUCAGGACGUUCUCUACGUAAGUCAUGGUCCGGAAAACUUCCUUCGUGUCUGCGAGGUGGAUGUCCACCCGGUCCGAAAUCCCUAGGAAUUCGUUCCCUUGGCCAAACACGGGGAGGAGGAAAUCUACAGCCAUUCAUGUUUCUGCCAGGAGAAAGAUCCAUUAGAGGUCGUUGAGGCGGUGGACCUGGAUACCCUCUUCGAGGACUUCCCCAGAACAAUACAUAGUAUUAAUUAGUAUAUUAAGUAUUUGAAAAAGAAAACUAGAGCUUCCUACAAAUAGAGUCUAAUAAACUUGUAUCUGACAAGAACACUAAGAAAGAAAAUGAGCAAUACCCAAUAAUAAAAUGACAAAAAUUACUAAAGUCCAAAUUACACGGCUAAGAAAAGCACCACAAGUAGAAAUUAUAAUCACUCCUCAAUGCUUGAUAAGAGGAUACCAUCUAGAUCUAGGUUAGGUUUGAUAAUAAAAAUCAUAAUUUUUGGAGACUAAUGUAAAAAAAUUGAUUUGAAAUAAAAAGAAGUUGUGAAAAGAAACUUAAAUAUAGGAUAUAAGGAUUUCAAAUGAAAUUUUAUUUUCCAAUUAAUUUAUAUGAAAAUAAAAAAUCCUUUUUAUCUCUUAAAUUUAACAUUCUUUUCACAACAACUCCACAAUUUCAAGUCAAUUUCCUCAAAAACUUUCCUAAAAAUUUUAAUUCUUAUUAUCAAACCCAGCCCUAAUAUAUUAUAAAACUAGGACAAAAUUAUGAUAAAAAAAAACUAACAAGGUCUUCACUGAUAAUAUUAAGGUUAAGAUAGAAACUUGCAUGGGAUCUUCACAAAUCCAGUCUCCUUCCCUGGGACGCACAUUUCGAUUAUUCCUGCUCAUGUUCUCUCCUUUGAAAGGUCCAAAACCAAGCCUUGGGCCAGGCCUUGCAAAUUCUCUCACAAGUAGCCUGCCACCAUUUCUUCAUCGGCUGGAAGGUGGCGAAAUGUCUCGGAAUCUACCUGCAUCCCUCCCACCCAAAUUUUCACUCCCUCUAGGUGGUUCCCCUGUAUGAUCAAAAUCAGAGGCAUACUGACGAACUCCAUCCCUGCGACGUGGAGGCGAACCAUAACUUGCACGAAUUCUAUACCCUUUAGAAAAGCAGUGUAGUCUAAAUAUGAGCAAACCCUUACAGACCAACAGCAAAAUCUUGUGACCCAAAGAACUUCCAAAUAGCCAAUCCAACUAAAAGCUGCAAUAUUAUCCAUAAACCAAGUAUCCAACACAAUACAAAAAAAAGUAGACAAGAGCCACCCCUUUUCCUUGUUGCUGUUCAGAUCAGUAGCCCACAUUGACACUGUCUAGUAACUGGAGCAGGAGAAGUGUAGAGCUAUUUGUCUGAUAGAUGACCCAUUUAACCCAGAGUUUCAAGAUAACUGUGUCAACACCACUUAUUCACUCGAGAUUUCUAGUCUAAAAACUACACACCAGACCCGGAACCAUUGAAAUUGGAGAACCAAGCUCUGCGUCAAACAUACCCUGGAACAACUAGAAAGAGGUCGGCAACUGCAGCCAAUCACUCUUAGGAAAGGUACCUCGAUGCAAAUAUUUCCAAAUGAGAGUAGCACAAGGGUGUAGAAGAUAUCCCAUCAGACUUUAAUGGAUAGUUCACACUCAAUAAGCAGAAGGAACGCCAACUAAAUAACAAUGUUCUUGGAGGCAAUAUUCACAGAUGUAACACAUAACACCAAAAAUUUAUUUGCGAUACAAAGAUAGUUAAAUCUACAUGGCCAACAUCUGACUAGCCAUGACCUACAAUGUUGUUGAAUUGUUUUCAAUCUCAAGAAGAUGUUUGAUGGCAUUCAAUUUUUCGUGUUCAUCGUCCUCGUUUAAGCGACAUUUCAUGCAUAUUUGUAUAGUUUUGGGUAAAAAUUUAGGGUGUUUCGUGCAUUUCUAACAUCUAUCUCGAUUUAGUGUCUGGGACCCAUUCAGGGUCAAUUUGAUAUUGUUUCGAGGUGUUUUUGAUCGGUUUCAGGCACAUAACGAUGUCGGGGCACUUUUCGAAACUGUAUGACGUGCAAAGAGAAGCAAAAUGCAUCAAAGAAUGAAUAAAUCACGAAGUUCAGGCGAUAUAUAGUGUUUGGGGACAAGCGAGAAAUAAGAUAGAUGAUUUAAGUUAUAUGGGGCGGAUAGUUGCUGAAACUCUAGGGGAACACGUCACGACGUGUUCGUCAAGGACACGACCAUGUCCUUUUCACUGGAAAUCGCGGCCAAGAAGCUGUUUUCAUAGAACACGUCAGUGUCCUAUGGAGCAUGGCGUGUUCCUUAAGGACACGACCGAGAAGCUGUUUUCAUAGAACACGUCAGUGUCCUAUGGAGCAUGGCGUGUUCCUUAAGGACACGACCGAGAAGCUGUUUUCAUAGAACACGUCAGUGUCCUAUGGAACAAGGCGUCUAACUCAAGGACACGGCUGUGCCCUUUUAUAUUAAAAUCAGGGGCAAUAUAUUAUAAUCGGAGAACACAUCCGUGUCCAUUUAGAACGCGACAUGUCCUAUGAAACACGACAUGUCCUUCUACAACAUGGUGUGUUCUGCCUCCAGACGGAGUUUCUCAACAAUUUUCCUUCUCCAAUUGGAAAUAGACAAUAUAAAUACCCCGGUUCUCCCUCAUCUGAAGACAUACUUUGGAGGAUGAAAUUGAGAGCAUUAUUGAGAGAUUUGAAAGGGAUAACAAGACAACUUUAAGGAGCUCGAAAUCGGAGAAAGGAUUAGAUGGCGAAUCAAGUUCUCAGGAAGCUCGGCGAAAUUAGGUUUUUCAUAGUUUCUUGUGUAAGCCUAAAAUCAAUGAUUUCUUCUUCUGAUUUUGAAUUGUUUUCUGAAAUCAUGAGCAGUUAAACUUCUCUUGUUUAAAUUAGAUAAACUCGGGUUAAUUCUUAUGAACGAAUGAUUUGAUUCUUUUGAAGAUUUCUGCAAGUUGGAUGGAUUUCAUUGCAUUUUUUAUUUCGUUUUUGGAUUUGUUCUUACCUGACCAACUUGAAUUGAAUCUCUAUUAGAUUUGUCUUAGACUCGAGAGAGCUUGCAUAUCUAGAACGCCAAAAUCAAAUAACUAGGUUAGAUGUUAACCCUCAUCCGAGAGCGAAUAAACAAGUAUGUCGUGUGAGCAAUUUUAAAUCGGUAAAUCGUCUAGCGGGUUUUAGAUCUUUGUCUCAAAAUAGCAGACUAGAAUACUAGAUAGGUAGCAAAUUAGCAUACCUGAAAGGGUGUGAUUUGAUUAGAGAAGAAUUGCGACACUGUAAUGCAUCUAUCAUUCUUUGUUUAAAUCGUGGAAUUUGUCUAUUAUUUGUGAAUUAGAAUUACCUAGGGGGAUUCGACAUCUAAACAGUUUCAUCUUUGAUUGUCUAAACUCUUAUCGUGUAGUCUUGCAACCCAUUUACUUUGAAACACUUUUCGUUUUCACUUUGAUUGAUUGAUUGAUUCUCGUGGCACCUAAACCAUAUUACUUGAUACCUCUAUUGAUAUUAAUUACAACUUUGAGUAAGAUACUAAAAGAGACCCUAGGGAUAUUCGACUCGGUUAAUUUAUUUGACCCUAGUAAGAUACUAAGAGAACCCGUGCCGAUUACACCAAGCCUAGUGCUGCAAAUUCCAAAUCGAGUGUAGUUCCUCCUGAACAAGAUGAUGCCAACUAUGAGAUCAAGGGGAAUCUCAUCUCCUUAAUUCAGUGAACUUGAAGUUUGAAGGAAGAACCGAUGAAAAUUCAUGUGAUCGUCUUGUGGAUUUUUAUGCUUAUUGUGAGAUUGUCAAACUUCAAGGUUUGUCCGAAAAAGCAAUGAAGCUCAAGCUGUUCAAUUGGUGUCUUCGAGGAGCCGCAAGAAGAUGGUUGACUAGUCAAACUGGAGACACAUUCAGAGACUGGGAUACUCUAGCUCAAGCUUUUGUAGAGGAGUAUUAUCCACCAGCGAAGAUGGGGGCUAUUCGAGAAUCAAUUUCUCGAAUUCAACAAAGAGAAGGGGAAAGCUUAGAUGACCUGUGAAAUAGAUUUCAGGAGCUUUUAUCAGACUGGCCUUAUCAUGGUUAUACAGACAGUCAGCUGGCAUACACGUUUACCAGAUCCUUAGAUCGAGCAAUCUCAAUGCUAGUACAUGAACUAUCAAAUGGAGAUAUAACUGAGCUCACUCCUGAAGCUGCUUUGCAACAUUUUGCUUCAUGUGCUACCAAGUCUAGAAAUUGGUCAAGAAAUACAAUUCAACCAGCACAUGUAGUAUCUUCUGACAAUUCAGACAAUAUUGCCCUAUGAGCUCAAGUUAAGGCAUUACAAAAGAGGAUUGAUAAUUUGAAGGUUGCUAAUCCCCCUACUGCAUUUGUUUAUACUUCUGUGUUUGGUGUGGUAUUUGUGAUAGCCAAUGUGAAUGUGAUAACUUCUACACCAACAAACCAAUGAUUGUGGAAGAAGUAGAUUUUGUGCGAGGAGGUUGUCCUUUCAGUCAGUAGGUAUAUCAAGACUUCAGAGCAAAGAAUGCCGGAGGCAGAAAAUUCUAACAUGCAUAUCCCCCCUCUGAUUUCUACAAGCCUAGAGUGGAGGAAUACAAUGCCAGCACUCCUCAAGGAAACUCAAGCAACCAAGGACUGCCAGGAUUUCCAGACAAACCACCUCAGCAACCACAUCAACAAAAUUCGACCACGAUGUUAUCCAGAUGAUGAAGACCAUGCAGGCGCAGUUGGCAAAUUAGAAUAUUAUUUUACAAGGUCAACAAGCAAUGAUUCAAAGGAUGGAGGCAUGCUACACAUCUUUGGCACAUAAGGUCGAUCUGAGACCUUCUGUGCAGGUCCCGGGGAACACUAAACAAAACCCCAACAACAGACAAAAGGGCACAUGGAUGUUAAAUCAAUUUCAUUGAGGAGCGGAAAGAUGAUUCAGGGAAACCCAAAAUCUGUUAAAGAACUAGAGAUGGUGUCAGAUGAUGUUGCUAUUGAAAUUCCAAAGGAGGAAGAGGAAACACUUGUGGCGGCUGCCACUCCUUCUCCUAAAGCUCGGAAGCGUGCAAACACAAAUUUUUUGCUCAUUCGAGAAGAGAUUAAGAAGCAUGCUAGGAUUCCAUAUCCUUUAGCAGUCAAGAAGAAGGGGCUAUCAUAGAAGUUUGAUAGAUUUGUUGAAAUCAUCAAGAAGCACGAGGUUAGACUAACCUUCCUAGAAGCUUUCAAAAAGAUUCCAGCAUAUGCCAAGUUCUUGAAGGAUAUGCUAAACAAGAAAAUCAAUCUCAGCCAUGCAACAGAGGUCUCCAUAUAUGAAGAAGACGCAACUAUCCUAGUCAGAUCGAUAAAGCAAAAAGACGCGGGGAGCUUUACUUUACCUUGCACUACUAAGAAUAUUAAAGUUGGUAAAAGUCUUGCUGAUCUAGGCACUAAAAUAAAUGUGCUGCCCCAUAGCUUGUUUAAGAAACUAGACAUACGUGAACCAACUGAGAUGAUUCUUUAGCUUGCUAAUAGAUCUAUGGUAAAACCUAGGGAGUCAUACAGGAUGUGCCUAUUCGAGUAGGACCAUUUGAAUUUCCUGUUUAUUUUGUUGUGCUAGAUACCCAUGAAGAUGACGGCAAUAUUUUACUAGGACGUCCUUUCUUACUUACUGUUGAAGCUGUGAUUGAUAUUUGCAAAGGGUGUUUAACAUUGAAAGUAGGAUAGGAUGAGGUGACAUUUCGUUUGAAAGAAGGCAUGAAAUACUCUAAGGCUUAGGAUGAUGAUGAUUUUCUCACAACUAUCAAGAUGCCUCUGAAAUGUUUGAAUUGUCUCAUAGUUUGUUCGAGAUGUCUGUACUGUUACAGGUGUUUAUGGAGACUGGAUGAACGACAUGGAGCAGAAGGCACAAGCAAAGGCCCUUGAAAAGCUGGAGACCUACUAUGGUGCAUCACUAGUGAUGGAACUUCCAAAGAUCCUGAAGAUAACUACAUCAUAUAAAGAGACACCAAAGUUGGAGCAGAAGCUAAUACCAGAGCAUCUUUAGUAUGCAUUUCCCAGAGAGGGCUCGAAAUUACCAGUCAUCAUCAACUCAAAGUUGACCCUCAGUAAAAGGACGAGCUUUUGGCUCUCUUGAAGAAGUAUGAACAAGCCAUAAUGUGGAAACUUGCCGACAGUAAGGGAAUCGGUCCCUCAUUUUGCACCCACCAAAUGAACUUGGAAGUUGAUGUCAAACAUGUAGUGCAACUGAAACGUCAUCUGAAUCGAGCUAUGAAGGAAGUCGUGAAGAAAGAAUUACUCAAACUCCUAGAUGCAGGUAUCAUUUAUUCGAUUUCUGACAGUCAUUGGGUUAGUCCUACAUAGGUUAUACCAAAGAAGGGUGGAUUGACGGCUGUGCCUAACAGCAAGGGAGAUCUUAUCCCUAAUUUGACAGUUACUAGAUGGAGAGUGUGUAUUGAUUACAAGCGCCUCAAUGAUGCUACAAAGAAAGACCACUUCACAGUGCCUUUCAUUGACCAUAUGCUCGAGAACCUCACCGGUCAUAAACUUUACUACUUCUUAGAAGGGAUGUCUGGCUACUUCCAGAUCCCAAUCAAGCUUGAGGACCAUGAGAAGAUGACUUUCACAUGUCCCUUCGACACAUUUACGUAUAAGCACGUCCCUUUCGGUCUGUGUAAUGCACGUGCGAUGUUUUAAAGAUGUAUGACAACGAUCUUUGGGAAUUUACUAGAAGAUGUUGUCGAAGUCUUCAUGGAUGACUUUUCAAUUUAUGGAGAUUCGUUCUCGAGAUGUCUAGCAGACCUGGAGAAGGUGCUAGCAAGGUGUAAGGAGACCAACUUAGGUCUAAGUUGGGAGAACUGCCACUUCAUGGUAGAGAAGGGGAUCGUGCUAGGCCAUAGGGUCUCCAAACGAGGUAUUGAAGUGGAUCGAGUUUAGCUCGAAACCAUCUCUCAGCUUCCUCCCAUGUGAAUGUUAAAACUGUUCGUAACUUCUUAAGACAUGUAGGUUUUUAUCGUCGAUUUAUUAAAGAUUUCUCUAAAAUUACAUUGCCUAUGAUAGGUUGUUAGAGAAAGAUGUGUUUGUAUUCGAUGAUAAAUGUUUUCAUGCAUUCGAAUCCCUCAAGAAGAAGUUGACGAUUGCGCCGAUAUUGGUCUCCCCGGAUUGGGGAGCCCAUUUUGAACUGAUGUGUGAUGCUAAUGAUUUUAGGGCAAAGGAGAGAGAAGAGGUUCCAUCCAAUCUACUUCGCUAGUAAGAUGAUUAGUGAUGCGCUGAAGAAAUACACAGCUAUUGAGAAGGACCUCUUGGCGAUUGUCUUCACAUUCCACAAGUUCAGGUCCUAUCUAGUAUUAUCUCAGACAAUGAUUUUUACUAACCAUUUUGCUCUUAGGGAGCCCGUUUUGAACUGAUGUGUGAUGCUAGUGAUUUUGCAGUUGGAGCAGUUUUAGGACAAAGGAGAGAGAAGAGGUUCCAUCUAAUCUACUUCACUAGUAACACGGUUAAUGAUGCGCAAAGGAACUACACAACUACGAAGAAGGAGCUCUUGGCGAUUGUAUUCUCAUUCGACAAGUUUAGGUCCUAUCUAGUAUUGUAUCAUACUACAGUUUUCAUUGACCAGACUGCUCUUAACUAUCUUCUAGCUAAACAGGAUGCAAAACCAAAAUUGAUUUGCUGGGUCUUACUCCUUCAAGAGUUUGACAUAUCUAUCAAAGACAAGGCGGGCACAGAAAAUGUUGCAGCAGACCAUCUUUCCUGCCUUGAAGGCCUUCUUCAUGCGUUUUGGCACCCCUCGCGCUAUCAUUAGUGAUAGGGGUACUCACUUUCAGGGUCAAUUCGAGCGGGUUUGCCAAAAAUUUGACGUAACUCAUCGAUUGACCACAUGCAAGCUGUCAAGUGGAAGUGAUGAAUCGUGACCUCAAGCGGAUUCUUCAGAGGACAGUCGACCAGUCUCGUAGGGAUUGGUCGAUUCGUCUCAAUGAAACUCUAUGGGCUUAUCGAACCGCUUUCAAGACUCUCAUUGACACUUCACCGUAUCAACUAUUUUCGGGAAAGUUGCAAUCAAGAUGGUCAAGACCUUCUGAAGUCAAACAAUCUUUCCCCUACGUGACCGUAGUGAUCACACAUCCAGACCAUGAAGCAUUAAAGGUUAAAGGUCACCGUCUUAAGCACUAUCUCAGUGCCAAGCCCACCGACGUAGUCGAAGUUCAUUACUUCGAGGAUUCUCAAUAAAAGGUCGGGUAUCGUCUAUUUCAAAUACGUUAAAGAAUGAGCGCUUCGUGGGAGGCAGCCCAUGUCCGGAUUCAGUAUUUUACAGUUUCUUUGAGUCAAAUUGCAUGUUUAGGUGUUAGUCGUUCUACUUUAGACUUUUCAUUUUCUUUAUUUUCGGAUCAUAAAUCCACUUUUGUUAUGUGUGGGACUUGGACACUUGUCCUAGUCCCUUUUUACUUUUAAUUUUGGUUUUGUAUGUGUGUGAGUGUGUUUCGGGAGAGAGUUGGCAACCGAUUUGAACUUCAUGGAUCAUGUAUCGAGUCUCUCGGAUUUCUUUCAGCUUCCAGGUUUUCCUAUGCAACUUUUCAUUUCAUUAAGUGAGGACACUAUCGAAACUAAGUGUGGGGUGGAUUUGUGUAUGCUAGUCUUUUUGGGUAGUCGUCUUGCAAAUUAGUCCAAAUCUCAAGCUUGUUGGAACCAUCUUUGAAUCAAUUACUUGACAUGCUCAGAAAGUUUCCCUGUGAUUUGUGCACUUGAAUUGUCGAUUACUUGUGAACCUAGAUUUGAUAGGAGUAUUGGCCAAUGAUCAAAAUUCUAUUGAUUCGUUCUUUAGAGUUUUUUUGAUGUGUUUAAAGUAGCACGGAGACUCCAACUUAAUGUGACCAGUUAUGCAUGUUACCGAAUUACCAUCUAGCAAAAUAUUGUGAGGUUUAAAACACCAUUUUAUAGUAUUGAUAAUCUACUUCAUUAGUAAAUUUGUUCUUAAAUUAUUUUGAGUGGUCUUCUAUGUUUGAUGUUAAUCCGAUACUUGCAUGAUACCAAUCUAAAUUCGCUCAAAAAUACUAAUGCACUAAAAUGAUAGAGGCCUAUAAGCCUUUUUCAUAACCCUAUUAUAGCCAAGAAGCCUUUUUCAUAACCCCUCAUAAUAUCAUAUCCCUUUUCAUUCAAGCCUUCAUUUGAUCAUGUGUACAUUAGUGGCAUGUAACUCGGUCGAGUCUAGGAGUCAAAGUUGCUAUGUUUUUAAAAAAGCAGGAUUAUAUAGUCUCCCUUGUUUAGUUUGAUGUAUAUGUAGAAUCUCAAAAAAUUGAAAAAAGGAAGGAGACAAGUAAAAAAUCUAGUCUCGAGAGAAAAAUAAAUAAAAAAAUCAAAAGAACACCAAGAUAUCUCGAGCUAGUUGAAUGAACGAGCAAAUAAGCUCGAAGUAGUAGUUGGAAUAAGGGAUAGACGCGAUAAUUUGAAGAUCUUGGUAGAAUUUGCUCCCUACAUAGCAUUUUUUUUGUAAUUCGUAACUUAGCUCCUUCUAAGAGUAGACCGAUAUGUACACUCACCACCAAAAGUCAUUUCACAUUCUCUUCUCUUUUUUGUCCAUAUUACAAAGCCAAACAGAAGACCUCUAGAUUAGUUCUUGAAGUGCCUUGAUGUGAUGAGUAGGAGUAGGUUGAUGUGCAAGUGCUAGAAGCGCACUUCAGAGUUGGUGAU